UGGUAGCUCCGAGAAAACUGUCCAACCAUCUCGUCCUCUGUCGUCCCCUUCUCCUUGUGCCCUCCAUCUUUCCCAGCAUCAGGGUCUUUUCCAGGGAGUCUUCUCUUCUCAUGAGGUGGCCAAAGUAUUGGAGCCUCAGCUUCAGGACCUGUCCUUCCAGUGAGCACUCAGGGCUGAUUGCCUUCAGAAUGGAUCCGUUUGAUCUUCUUGCAGUCCAUAAGACUCUCAAGAGUCUCCUCCAGCACCAUAAUUCAAAAGCAUCAAUUCUUCGGCGAUCAGCCUUCUUUCUGGUCCAGCUCUCACUUCCAUUCAUCACGACUGGGAAAACCAUAGCUUUUACUAUACGGACCUUUUUUGGCAAGGUGAUGUCUCUCAGUAAAACAUAGCAUCCCCCAAAGUUCAGCAGUAACUUUCUCCUGUGCAUGAUUUGACCUUUAAGAUGCCCAGGUGCCCUCUUUCAUAUCAGGCAAUUCAGCACUUCCAGCCCUGUCCAUGCCAGUUUUCCCCUUUCCUACACAUCCAGUGAAAAUUCCAAUAAUCUGGAUCCUCGAAGGGGAAGGGGGUUCACAUAGGGCCACAGGGCCUCAUAGAGAGCCUUUGGGGGACUGUAUGUCAGUGGUUUUCCCAGUAGUGAUGUGUGGAAGUGAGAGCUGGACCAUAAAGAAGGCUGAUUGCCAAAGAAUUGAUGCUUUUGAAUUAUGGUGCUGGAGGAGACUCUUGAGAGUCCCACGGACUGCAAGAAGAUCAAACCGAUCCAUUCGGAAGGAAAUCAGCCCUGAGUGCUCACUGGAAGGACAGAUCCUGAAGCUGAGGCUCCAAUACUUUGGCCACCUUAUGAGAAGAGAAGACUCCCUGGAAAAGACCCUGAUGUUGGGAAAGAUGGAGGGCACAAGGAGAAGGGGACAACAGAGGACGAGAUGGUUGGACAGUGUUCUCGAAGCUACCAGCAUGAGUUUGACCAAACUGCGGGAGGCAGUGGAAGACAGGAGUGCCUGGCGUGCUCUGGUCCAUGGGGUCACGAAGAGGCGGACACGACUAAACAACAACAAUGUCAGUGGUAGCUGUGCCAAGAAGCAAAACUGGAUGGUGCCAGGGGCAGAAAUGGAACACAGUUGACCACUUUCCAACCAUGCAAUAGCCAGAGGUUUCUAUAUUUCCAUACACCCAUCUCUCCGUCCUCCACGCAGGGAAGUCAGAGGAUCAAGGACGCAUUCGCCCCAGGUGAAACAGCUUGAGAACGAUUGAAAGGACAGCUGGUGCAGUAUCCCACCUCGGCCACAGGGGGCAGCAAUUUCUAUACAAGGAAUAUACAAGACAUUUCUUUUUCUGCACAAUGUACCUGGUAUAUAGAAACAACAGAGCAUUCCAUCUGGCCAACCAAUUGAAGGAGAAGGAGAAGACAACCACUACCAGACAGCUACCUUGUCUCACAGCUUUCCACACACACACACACACUACAAUAGAGUUAUAUACCUAGGCAUCCUUUUCAUUUUAUAAUUUUAAUUUAAGGAAUACAUUGAUGAUUGAUGAAUGGAUGUGAUUAAUUGAAUUAUUUUGGAGCAGCAGUAAUGGGUUGAUAAAUUAAUUGCAAGUAAAGUCAUGGGAGAACAACUAAUUUGGGGUGCGUGAUCUGGAUGGGAAAUCAAUUGGGUGAAGUCCAUAUUAAUAAAUUCAUUAUUUGGGGUGAUCUGGAUGUAAAAUGAACUGGCCUGUCAUCUGUGAAAUUUACUUUCUGGUAAUUAUUUUUAAAUUUGCAUGUGUACGGCUAAAUUGGCAUGUGCAUAUUUGUCCUCUUUUUGGAUGCUCCAGCAGUGGUGUAGCGUGGGGGGUGCAGGGGGGGCCGACCGCACCGGGCGCAACAUCUGGGGGUUAGGGUUAGGGGGCGCAAAUCCACGGGUUAGGGGGCGCAAAUCCACGGGUUAGGGGGCGCAAAUCCACGGGUUAGGGGGUGCAAAUUACUUGCCUUGCCCCGGGUGCUGACAACCCACGCUACGCCACUGUGCUCCAGUGCCUCUUUUUAGGCCUUGGGUAAGUGGCUACCUUGUAUUUUAGCAAUGGCACCCACAGCCUGAACAUUGUAAAUAAAGGGAAUGAUGAAGUCGCAUGGUGCAAAUUUGAGUAAUAAAAGCGAGCCCAAGAGACUAGCUCAGAAUUCAUAGCAAUCGGUGAAAUUUUGCCCCUUCCCCAUUUUACUGCAUUUGGUCUUAGAGGUUCCUGUGAAAGUAGCCUUUCUGAUUAUGUCCUCCUUUCCUCAAUUCCUUGUCUCCCUAAUCCUCUUUCUCCUGCUUCCUCUACUUACUUGCCUCUCAGAUUGCCACAUCCCACUUCCUUGAACCUUCUGGGAUGAUUCUCAUUCCGUUUCCUUGACCUCAGCCUUCCUCACCAAAAGACUCAAGCCUAUCCCUAUGGCUUAUCUAGAGUAUUAACCUCAAAUCAAACCAUAUUCCGUUCCCAUACAGAAGCUGGACUGAGAACUCUUGGGGUGGAGAGCUGGUAUUCCCAGAGCAGUUGCAAAGUCACAAAACGUUUGCAAACAGUCCAUCAGCUCAGCAGUCAGUGUCAGAGAUCACAGUGCUACACAUGCAAUCCAGUACAGAUGGAUAAGGAAACCAUGAGAUACAGUGGCAUUAUUCCACGUGCACAGCUUGCAGCCAGGCUGCACGGUGAAGCUGUUGAAAAUCUGAGCUGCAUUCCACUCCAUAAUAUCAUGUAAGCUGUACAAUAGGGUUAGUGAAGCAGUGAUUAUUUUAGAGCACCUUAACUGGGGAGAAUCCUCCUCUCUUGUUCCUUGUUAUUUCCAGAUGCCUUUGUGAAAUGGCAGCCAGGGAGUCGGGGGAAGAAAGGGGGCCUGUUCACAUACCAGGCAGAAAGAAAGCAGUGAUCCUAGCUUAGCGCACUACAAAAGUUCAGAUAACUUUCAUUUGAUGGGUAGCUCCUUUUACAGAAGCUCUGAGCUUGAUGACUCAGGAAAAGACAGCUCCCCAUGUAUAGAAACUUCAGCUAUUUAUCUACCCCUCUCAGACCUCCUGCUUUUGAAUUAUGGUGCUGGAGGAGACUCUUGAGAGUCCCAUGGACUGCAAGAAGAUCAAAUGCAUCCAUUCUUAAGGAAAUUAGCCCUGAGUGCUCACAGGAAUGACAGAUCGUGAAGCUGAGGCUCCAGUACUUUGGCCACCUCAUGAGAAGAGAAGACUCCCUGGAAAAGACCCUGAUGUUGAGAAAGAUGGAGGGCACAAGGAGAAGGGGACGACAGAGGAUGAGAUGGCUGGAUAAUGUUCUCGAAGCUACCAGCAUGAGUUUGACCAAACUGCGGGAGGCAGUGGAAGACAGGAAUGCCUGGUGUGCUCUGGUCCAUGGGGUCACGAAGAGUCAGACACGACUAAACAACUAAACAACAGCAACAACAACUCGGACCUCCAAAACGGAUUGAUCAAUGGAUUAUUAAUUAACGCAAAAAGCAAAUGAUCAGACUUGCGCACACAGCAUCUACACGUGUUUAAGCUGUAUACGCACAGUUUCAGAUCAACAGAUGCAAGUCAAGAGAUCACAUCACAUGCGAAACUGAUUUCCCCCUCCAGGAGCUGAUUCUCGGUUAAUGUAUGAAUUUUCUCCCAGCUUUGCCCAUAGUCUCCAAAGGCCGUAUCCCUUGUGCCGCUGGAGUGUGCAGCCUCUUUCGUGCCAUACAUCCUCGUUAUUUAGUGAAGGCUCCAGCUGCCUCUCUCUGCAUAAAAAGUGUUUAUUUUGAAACCAGUCAGCUACAAAGAUCUGUCUUGUUGGCAGCAAUUUGCCAAGGAAUUUUGUACUACUGGCUUCGAUAUGUUGCAAACUGAGGAUCAAAGGGGAAACUGAAACUUCACUAACUAGGCUUCUCUCCCUCUCUCAAAAGAUUAUUGGAGAGUGAGGGCCUUAUUGAUGGUUUAAUUGAUCAACUGGAGAAAUUUAGAUAAAUCUGGCAUUUGAGGAACCACAGCUGCUGUUCUUUUUGGUGCAGUUCAUCAGCCAGAUAAAAAACAUUGCACUGAUUUACCUUUCACUUCUGUCAUUAAUCUAAAUGGUGUGAAUUCAAUUUCAGUUAUCAGCUAUCUUUUACAUUCUACCACUUUAUUUUCCUUUGGAAUUCAAAAAAUUUACGUUUCAGAACCAUGCACCACCAUCGUUCUUCAGCUUCGCUGGAUGUUGCUUUUCCAACAGACAAUUGCCAACGGAACAUUAUAGGAAUUGUUUUUCGGGGGAAACUACAGCUAGUUUUUAAAUUUGAUUAUAUAUAUCUGGCCGAUGACAUUCAGGGCUCCUUCAGACUUUCUAUUGUGUCAUAUUUCUAGACAGAGGUUUGUACUUUAAAGCGUUGGGUCUGAGCGCUUUUUUUUUUGCCCACGAAAAUCCGCCCUUUUACCACUGAAUUGGAGCAAAUGGAAAUCCACAGAAAUAUGAAUUGUUCUUUGUUUUGAUUCAGCAUUAAAGAGUGAGUUUUUGCAGGGAAAGCUCAGACCUGUGCCUGUAAAAAAGGGGGGGCAGAAGGUGAGUUUGAAUAAGCCCUAAGAUGAGCAAGAGCCUAACUCAGUAUCCUAGUGUGAAUUAAAUAAAUCUCCAGCUGUUUAAAAAGAAAGAAAAAGAGGGCAGAUUGGGGAUCAAAAAGGGAAAGCUGAAAGGGGUUAGGCAAUUCUGCAUGGCUCAUCCAUGACCAAAGGUUUUAAGACCAAUUAAUGGCAAAUGGUGCUGUCUGAUUUAAAUCAAGCAAUUAAUUCAUCCCCCACCUCCUUCAGAUUAAAGACUCACAAUUAUCUGGACAAGGAGAAAGAUACCACACCCUUUCCAAUAUCUGUUUCCUUUUAGCUUUCUAAGUGCCUUAACAUGAUACAGGUCUCUUUGCAGUUUUGCAUCGUUCAUAGAGAACUGGGCUACCCUCCUAAUUGUGCAAUUAGGGUAUGUUUUCUUUUCUUCCUAUCAUGAUGGUUUAAAUGCCUGCCAUGAUUACAUAUCAUUGUGCUGUCCACCAGGUGACAAUUCAUCUCUUAGCACAAAGUUCAUCCUAAAAACAUCAUCAUGGUCCAUUUCCUUAAUCUUUCUUCAUUACUCUAAUACAGAGUUUUUAUUUGUUCUGGGGCCAAAUAAUGAGGUGUAUCAGGGUAAUUUGGGGUGAUUUUAGUGGAAUUGCAAGGUCAAAAGACUGCCCCAAGUUAGAUCAGGGCCCCCACAAAAUAUUGUGCAACUCUGUUGCAUUGUUUUCGUGUACUCCAUCUCCACAAAAUAUAUUAGAAGGGACCCAAACUGGUGAAAGAUUAAUUUGGUCAUCAAUUCACUUACAUUUUGUCCUGUUGUUGCUGUUUACCCCUCCUUCACCCUAAAAUCCCAUGGCAGGUUACAACAAUUAAAACACAAAUUAAGCACAAUUAAAACACAUGAUGAUGCCUUGAUCUGACGCUAGCUGUGUUACUCGUUUUAUUGCUUUUUUAACCUUUGUUUUAUUGCUUUGUUUCCCCACCUCCCAAACCCUUGUUGUACUUUUAUCCUUGAUUCUGGCUUUUAUUUACAGUGUUCAUAUAUAUAUGUUGUAUUUAUAGUAUUUGUAAUUGCAAAUAUCAUUUGUUUGUAGACCUUUAAGCCUGUCUGCAUUUCUGCAAAGGCCUUUGACCAUAAGCAAUAAAAGUUUGAUCUGAGUGCCUGCUUUAAAACAAAAACAAAAGCACAGCAGAUCACAAUCACAGAACUGCCUAGUUUGGAUAUUUGCAAUAAAGCUGCAGUGAGGCAGUCCCUUUGCCUUGAUUUAAAGGGUUCUGCAAACAUGUAUUGUUUUAAAAAUGCAGGGAGGCAUUUUAAAAGUCUAGCUUUCCCUGCAAAUCCAUCCCUUCUGCUUAUCCUGCAAUGCUGAAGUGGGAGAGUAAGUGAACAGGCUGGAGAAGAGUGGAAUAGUUGGAAGCGGAGAGGCAGGGGAAACUAAACCUGCUGUAUCUUCACGAAGCUGAUCAGACUUUAAAGGGACAACACCAUCCCUAUCACCCAUGAACAUACCACCUGGUCCUUAGGGCUAUACAUGGUUCACAAUGUCCUUAAAGCAAUGAUCCCUGGUCCACAAGCUCCCUAUAACAUUCUCAAGGUGCCCAGGCCACAGUCUCUCUCUUUCUCCCUGCCUCUUCAAAGUGUUUUCAAAGCACACUGGAGUAUGAAAUAUGAAAACAAACUUGCACAGCUGCUCUCUGAGCUUUCCCUUCCUCGCCACACCUGCAGGGAAGAGUUUUCAGAGCUCUGUUUCUCUAAAAGCACAUCAAAGGCUGCCAUAUCUGAACUUUGGUUAAUGUAAAGCUACUCCGGUCUCCUUAUCCAUUUCUAUUUGUAUGUGUACAUAGUGGACCUGCGGGAGGUCAGUCUUCCCAUUCAGUUCACAGCCUUGCUUCUCCAGAUGUUGUUGGACUACAACUCUCUCCAUCCCUCAGCACAGGUCCUGCUAGCAAGGGAUGAUGGGAGUUGUAGUCCAACAAUAUCUGGAGACCCAAGGCUGUUGCAGAAUGUCCUGCUGACAUACCGAAUGGCAUGGACUCUUUAGUUUCUUAUUUAAUUCACAUGAAUUAAAUCAUUUGAAAGACAGACUAGGAUCCAAAGAAGGGACAUGACUAGCGAAGACAGAACUCACAGGGAACUGAGUGCCUGUGAGCUGUGGCAAUUACUGCUACUCGUCCCCCCAGCAUCCAAGACCACUGGAGAGAGCAGAGCAUUUAGGACUGCUGUGUUCCUCACCUCCAUCUACUCCUACUUAGACCCAAGUCAUGACCAUUAUUCUUAUUUACGCUGAAGGUCAAUAUGGAAAUUCAAGUAGCUAAUGAACUUCCCAGUGCGGAGUGUAGCUUCAUGCAUUAUAAUGUUGGCACCCAUGAGUAGUUUGGCACCGCUACACUUCCAACAGUGGAGUCACAGUUGUGUACCAGGAUGGAGAGAGAGCAGGGUUGUGCAAGAACGUCAAUAUAGAGCAUGAAUGAAUGUGUGCUGCAGUGAUUCUGAUUUCUCUGCUCCUCCCCUCUCAUCCUCAUUCCCUUGCCUCUGAUCCAUGUUUGUCAUUUUUUUUGGAGCUAGUUGGCACCCUUUGAAGGAGCCACACAACCUAGUGUCUUCUACAAGGGAGCCUUUUUCUAUUUUUAACUAUAUUGGAGGCAUCUAAGCAAAAAAAAAAGGGACGUGGGUGGCGCUGUGGGUUAAACCACAGAGCCUAGGGCUUGCUGAUCAGAAGGUCAGCAGUUUUAAUCCCCACGAUGGGGUGAGCUCCCGUUGCUCGGUCCCAGCUUCUGCCAACCUAGCAGUUCGAAAGCACAUCAUAGUGCACGUAGAUAAAUAGGUACUGCUCCAGCAGGAAGGUAAACGGUGUUUCCGUGCGCUGCUCUGGUUUGCCAGAAGUGGCUUAGUCAUGCUGGCCACAUGACCCAGAAGCUGUACGCCAGCUCCCUUGGCCAAUAAAGCAAGAUGAGCACCGCAACCCCAGGGUCGGCCACGACUGGACCUAAUUGUCAGGGGUCCCUUUACCCUUUACCUUUAAGCAACUAUAGAAAGCUCUAAGGGCUGGUUUUCAGCUGUCCUUCCUGGCUUUGGAGAAGGAGGUUCUGUUUGCACUUUUCAUGGAACUUCUAAGCCAACAUCUAGCCAUCUACGAACCAGUGGCGAUGACUAACAAGAGAACACUCUGGUGUUCUCACCUUGCCCAGGACAAGUGACUGUUGGAUUCCACUCCUCACUUACCUUCUUACUUAUCUUUCAGAUCUUACCCACCUACAACUCAUGGGAGACCCCAAACCCCAAGGGUUUGCUGGUGAGCUUUCCCUUUUGUCAUUCAUUUACUCUCCUUUUAGUUCUGUGGGAUAAAAACACCUGCCCCAGAGUCUCUCUAUAUAUACCUCUCUGUUAGAAACUGCAAAGUGCAUGGUCCAGGCAAAUGUGAGGUGAGUAGCCUGUGUAUUUGUAACCCCUAAUCAUUUUGAUUCCUUUAUAUAUGAGUACUGCUGCUACUGGCGGAGGAACGGGGGUGUGGGGGGAGCGGACCGCCCCCAAUACCACUAUUCUGGUAGGGUGCCAUCGUGAUGGCCCCCCCCACGCACGCACCCCUGUGCAUGCUGGGUGCCAGGACAACACAAGAAGCUCGCCAAUCCCCCAGAACAAGUGCCACACCUGCGGGCGGCGCCCCAUGCCCCCAGAAUGUACGCUAUACCCCCCCCCAGGGCGCCAGUCACGCCUCCGCCUGCUCUCCGCCCCCGGUAGCGGAGCCUGCAGCUUUGCCACUGACUGCUGCUUCAAGUUGCAAGGCUAUUUGGUUCUCUGCUAGCUAUUUUGUGCAAAUAAAUAUUGUCAUCAUAUCAAACAGUGUGCGUACUGUAUUGCUAAUUCAUUAAAGCAAGAAAAUAUAAGACAGGAAUUAGUUAGUCAAGGCUAAUUCCCCCAAAUCAAACAAGGGGACCCUGGUGUUUCUAAAUAUAAAAAACACCUCUAGUGUUCCAUUGCCUCCAGGAAAGUUCCCCAAAUUUGCAGUUCCAUCAAGAGCUGGGUUAGAUAUAGAUCAGGGGUCGGCAACCUUUUUCAGCUGUGGGCCGGUCCACCGUCCCUCAUACCAUGUGGUGGGCCAGACUAUAUUUUGAAAAAAUUAUGAAUGAAUUCCUAUGCCCCACAAAUAACCCAGAAAUGUAUUUUAAAUAAAAGCACACAUUCUACUCAUGUAAAAACAUGCUGAUUGCCAGACCGUCUGCGGGCCAGAUUUAGAAAGCAAUUGGGCCACAUCCGGCCCACGGGCCUUAAAUUGCCUACCCCUGAUAUAGAUUCUCUUGGCUUAAGCAUCUGAUAAUUGCUCAGGUGGGGAAAAAAGGAGUGGCCAAUGUAGACUUUUCUAUUUACAUUGCAAAUCUGAUUGAAGAUGAAUGAGCCAAGAGUUUUCUGCUUGUUGUAUGUGUUUACCACUCAUCACUCCUUGUAAACAGGUUUGCAGGGUUUGUAUUGCUUCAGAAACUUGCAAGGCCUCUUGAAGCAGAGGCCAUAGUAACGAAAUGCAAUUCAUCAUGAGAAGUGAUGCCUCUUUCCCAUCACUUCAUGUUCCAGGUCCUUGGAAGUAAGCCCCACUGGUUACUUUGGGGUAAACACGCUGUUUAAAACUAUUUUAUGUUCUCAGCUUUAGAGAGAAGGAUUAGACUCAGGAAACACAGUGCAGUAACUAGCUGGCUUGCAUUGGCCCUCUGUCUGCAAGGAAAGUGUUAAAGCAAACUUGAAAAUGAGGCUGAUAUUUUAUUAACCUUUUGCAAAGAGAAUUGUUAGUUAUGGGCAAGAGGCAUUAGAAGGGAAGGAAAAGGCCAGUUGGCCUAAUAAGACUUGCCCCUUGGGGCAGCCUUGAUCUCUGUCUCCAUCCAGGAAUAAAUUAUGAAGAGGCUCUUUCUGAGCUCAUUUAUAAAAUCUCAUUUAAGGACCUGUCUUGGCAAUUUCUCCCCUAUAUAAGCAAUUCUAGGAAUUCAGAGGCCCAGGCUGAGAGAUUCAUGGGUACACACACAUUUCAAUAUAUGCACUGCAUUCUGCUAGUGCUUUGCAUUUUCUUAUAUGUAUGGUGUCAGCAGAUGGGGAGGUGUGCUGGAGCACAAAGAUUUUUUUUAAGACAGAUUGUGUGUGUGCAUGUGUUAGAGAGAUAUGAUCAACUGCGCAUGCGCAUGCAAGAAACAGAACUGGGUAGAUCACUCCUUUGUGUGAGGGAGUGUGCAUCUGCACAUGAAAAAAAUUAAAGCUGGUCCAUGAAAUUUUGCAUGGCCAAUCAAUUUCUUUUUUUAGUAAUACCUGAUUGCAAUGUGCAAUUCUCCCAAGCCAUUAGCUGACCUGACAGCAGCAACAGAGGGGAACCAUUUAAAUUUUGCAUAUGACCCAGGAGCAACAGCAGGUGUGGCCCAGGCUUGGGACCAGUUCCAGUGGGCUCAGUUGGACGACAGAGACCUUGGCAACUGUCCGAGGGUGCUGAGCACUGGUGCCAAACUUAAAUAUACCAACAAGCAGUUCCUCAUUUUCGGGCAGUAGAAAUGCCACAAUGUUCAGCUUUAUCUGCCAUGGGUUGGCCAAUAAUUAUUGAAGUUAGAUUUUAUUUUAUUUUUCAAAAUUGUUUACCAGCCAGCUUGGAAUCAGAAUUUCCAGACAGCUUGAAUGCCACCCCCACCCCCCACCCCCGGUGCAAUAGUAGACUUUUCAGAAUAAAUGGAGCUAUAACUUUUCAGUAAAAGAGAAGUUGGGUUGAUUAAAUUGGCCAGUGUCUUUGUACUUCUGCUGAAAGCUGUGUGUUUUCAAACAGGUGGUGUGAAAAUUCUACACCACAGACAUUAGCCAAUAGGUGCCCAUGACGUAAUUUCUAUAGCUCGCGUCUGUGACAGCCAUCACAACGGAUGCACUAACUGGGGGGAAGAAUCUAGGUUUCAUCAUGACAAAAUAUUGUUCUUUGAGUGCUGAGAAAGAGCAGGAUCUCCGCCACAGGAAUGCAACCUCGAGGGAGGUUGUCUGGGCUGCUAACAAUAAAUGGAAAUGAUGGGGAUCCAAAGAACCACACAGCUAGUUCUGGGUGCCCAAAGGAGCCUUGGACCCCCAAGAAUGCAGGCAUGGCAAACCUCUUCCGAAACCGGGGAAGGUAUGGAAAGCCGCUUCUGAGGCUGCAUGGGAGUUUGCCUUCAAAGGGGAAAGUUUUUAAACAGACUCCCAUUGGGCCUGCCCAAACCAUUGGGUGCACCUAAAGUAGCUCUUUGGACGACAGCCAAUGACUCUGCACGGAUCAUUUUACAAAUGGAAAGUCUGGAAAAGGCCUGAAACACAGAUGUUGCAACCUUAAGAUUUGUAUCUGAUUACCAAAAAAAAGGGAAAGAACGGAGAAUGCAUGGCAAGUUUCCCGCACGCUCCCCUUUGCAAGACUUGAGCGCUGAUUCGAACUCCUUCCUUUCAGCUCCCCACAUGCCUUCUCGUGACCCCAGCCAGCCAGACACAUACAUCAGGUGUGCUAUCCCAGCAGGCUGUUGGGGCACUGCUUCCACCUCACCUGCUUUGCUGAGGGCUUCUGCUCAGGUUCAGGGCUCACAUAGCAGCCUGCAAGCUUGGGGGGAAGAUCUUUGCAAAGCCUUUGCAACUCCCUGCCACAGAGUGCCAGCCAGGAGGAAAAUGUACUGCCCAACUAGCAAUUAGCAGAGGCUUUUGGGGGGAAAUGAGGGGGAAAUGAGUGAGCUCUUUGGGAGAAAUUCCUACCGCCCCAACACCCCUCAAAUUCCUUUACUCAAGCUAAAUGCAUAUCCCCUAUAAAUGAAAAGGUCAUUUUGCUUACAUAAUUUUGGAGACACCCUUGGAACUCCAUACAGGUGGUCUGCGUUAAGAAGGGCAGUUCACCUCCAGCCAGCUGCCAGCACCAGCUGUGGUCUUAUACUGCCCUCUGCAGUUCCAAAUUCUUCCUGUUCCUAAUUCUGAAAACCGAGAGCCAGUGCAAAGCCUUGCCAGCAGAUCUGUCACAACCUGUGACAUACUAAAGAUGCCAGAGUGUCACAUAUCAGGUACAUAAGCUCAUAAUUGUAAGGCUCAGCUACACAGCAGGGGGGAACUAGGAGGGGGUCACUCUGCCUGAAUUCUCCAUCCAAGGAGCUAGGCUUAAUUACUCGCUACUGAUUGUGUUGGGCAGGGAGGGGGGGAAGAGGCAUUUUUAAAAAAAUCCACACCUUCUGGUCUAGGAGCCAAUUUACAGGAGCAACACUAAGACAUACGGCAGAGUCCUAUAUGUGUCUACUGGGAGUGGAGGAAUCUGUCAAUUUUGGUUUCUCUCAGAUCCUCAUUUGUUUUCCUCCACAUCAGUUUGCAAACUUCAGGGGCAGGGGAGACUUCUCUAAAUACAAUAUAAUCUGCUUCUUAAAGUGUCUGUAGCAUGGUUUUCAAGCUACAGUAACUGGACACAGAAAUUAAGCAGAUGAAACUUUUGUACUACAUAGUUCUGUAUCAAGAAAAAGCUCAUCGCUGAAAUUUCUGUGCAGGAGAAAUUUCUGUUAGAAGCCUAGGAGCAGAACCCAUACAAAAGUAGCAAACCUUUUGUGUACAUACAAAAGUGCCUCUGUGAGAUUACAUAUUUUAGGGCCACAUCUUGGUGAACUCUAACACUAGUUCAGUCCAUGUGAAAGAUGGAAUAGAUUUUUAAGGCCAAAUUAUGACGGCGUUCCCCAGCAGUGGGCUGAGGAGGAGGAAAUGGGAAAGGAUCUCUUGGGAACAUCAAAGGAACCCUGUUAGCACUGCGUUUAUAGAAACACAUUUACAUAUGAGUAAGCAAGGAUGUUUGAUUCUCCUCAUGGAUUCCCUUCUAAUAUUUUUAGAACUAAAUUCAGAGAAUGCUCUGAAGGUACAUGAAGUCACCAACUGGCUGAAGCUAAGCAGGUCUUGGUCUGGUCAGUAACUGGGCGGGCAACCUCCUGGGAACAACAUCUACGCUUACGUUUCAGGAUAUAAAUCUAAGAAAUGAAUGAAUGAAUGCAGUCUAUGGCCAUCACGCGUAGAAUCAACACUUGCCAUGUUUUUCUCUUACUUUCAGCAAAAUCGCAUUUCAGAACAUCACCUCCUUCACACAAAAGAGGCAUGCGCAGCACUUUUGGAUCAAUCAUGAGCUAAAGCAAAAAUGCUUCCCAUAACUUGGUGACUCAGACCCCAAAAACAUACUGAAGGCAAGUGUCUGUCCAAAGUAGAACCAGGUUGAAGGGGGAGAAGAAGAAGCUUUGCGAAAGUAUAGUGUAUAGCUCUAGCUUAUGGAGAAUGCCAGGGUGUCUCCUUAGUGACUGGCAAAGUUUGUUAAGAGAGUGAAUUCUACUUUGGGGGAGGACUGCUGAUGGAAAUUAUUAGGCAUGAUCUCAUGUGUUUCUUGUGAUUUUGCAAGUUCCGUUUUAUGAAGCAGCAACAUUAGACAGUGUUUUGGUAGAUUGUGGUAGCAUCCCAAACCCUUCUUUCCAAUUAAUGCCCAGCUUGCAUCUUUAGUUUGCCCAGUUUUGAUCCGGUGGGCAGCUCCUCCUCCUCCUGCCGUAAAAAGAGGCUGAGCGCAAGAGAGGAGGAGCGGCCAGCCAUUGAAGCCACGCCAUGCUUGGCCUCCUCCUGCCAAUGCAACAUUGUACGCAUGGCAUCACACGUGCAAUGCUGGGGCCCCUCAAUCUUUGGCGCAGGUUGGCAUCCCUGAACCAAUGAAUGAUGUGCUCAGAAGGCCUGGUAGCUCCUCUGAAACAGGCAGCAGCCUUCCCUCUGCUCAUCACUCUCGAACCCUCCAAGUGUCCCUGUUUUCCAGUGACAUCCCUGAUUUAGAGAAGCCAUCCCAGUUUCUGAUUUGAUCCCAGAAUGUCCUCCUUUUCCUUUGGAUGUCCACCUUUUCAUUCCAGAAAUGUUGGAGGGUAUGGAGUUACAGUGGUGCCUCGCAAGACGAAAUUAAUUCGUUCCGCGAGUUUUUUCGUCUUGCGGUUUUUUCGUCUUGCGAAGCACGGUGUCGGGAAAGUUUUGGAAAAGCUUCAAAAAUCACCAAAGUCUUCAAAAACCUCAAAAAAGGCUACCACACCGCGUGCUAUGAGUUGCUCCUCGAAGUCAAGUCGCAACUGUAUUAACGGUUUUAAGAAAAAGGAAACAAACUUGCAAGACAUUGCAAGACAGGAAAAUCGUCUUGCGAAGCAACUGAAAAAACCAAAACCCUUUCGUUUUGCGAGUUUUCCGUCUUGCGAGGCAUUCGUCUUGCGAGGUACCACUGUAUGCAACUCCUGAGCCAUCUAAUGGCAAUCCUGUAUAGGGAAGUGUUUUUUUAAGUUUAAUGUUUUAUUUAACCAAGACCAUAUAACACCGGUCCAGAAAGAGCUACAUCGGCUCCCAGUACGUUUCCGAGCACAAUUCAAAGUGUUGGUGCUGACCUUUAAAGCCCUAAACUGCCUCGGUCCAGUAUACCUGAAGGAGCUUCUCCACCCAUAUCGUUCUGCCCAGACACUGAGGUCCAGCGCCGAGGGCCUUCUGGCGGUUCUCUCACUGUGAGAAGUGAGGUUACAGGGAACCAGGCAGAGGGCCUUCUCGGUAGUGGCGCCCGCCCUGUGGAACACCCUCUCAUCAGAUGUCAAAGAGAUAAACAACUACCUAACAUUUAGAAGACAUCUGAAGGCAGCCCUGUUUAGGGAAGCUUUUAAUGUGUGACAUUUUCAUGUAUUUUUAAUCUUUGUUGGAAGCUGCCCAGAGUGGCUGGGGAAACCCAGCCAGAUGGGCGGAGUACAAAUAAUAAGUUGUUGUUAUUUAUAUUAUUAUUAUUAUUAUUAUUAUUAUUAUUAUUAUUAUUAUUUUCUAUAUGUUGGAAGCUGCCCAGAGUGGCUGGGGCAACCCAGUAAGAUGUGCAGGGUAUAAAUAGUAAAAUUAUCAUUAUGGAACGGGACGUCCCUAUUUUCAUGGGAGAAAUGUUGGAGAAUGAAGGCAGAGAUUGUGUGGCCCCGCAGAAGUGGCAGCAGGGCCUUGUAUGGGAUUCCAGCUGUGCCCCCUGCCUGCAUUGCAGGAACCAGCUGAGCAGGGGCAAAUGCCUUGGGGCAACGCUCCACCAGCGAUCCCAGAAUGCACUUGCAUAAACAGCCCCAGUCCCUCACUUGGGGAAGAGGCAGAGCCUGAGAAGCCAGGCAGGGAAGGCCAUAGGGGCGCAGGGCAGGGCAAGGAGGGAUCUCUCUCUCUCUCUCUUCCCCUCAAGUGUCACCCCAUCCUGUCUACUAGGGAAGAUGGAGGACUCACAGCUCAGUCAGUACACUUGGAGCAAGGAUAAGAGGAGUCUUAUAAGAGGAGCACUGGAGCCCUUCCCCCGCAAGAAGAAUGAAAUAACCUCGGAGUCGAGAGUGGAUUUCAUGCUCUUUAUUCAGCUCAUGGUGGUGAGGAGGAAUGGAAGUUCCCCCAGAAUGUCUGCUUUAUAUACAUUAUUUACACAAUGGGCCCCACAUGGUUGGCUAAUUCCGGGGUUCUCCUGUAGGCCAAUCAGUUUGCGGAUUCACUUCCACCUGGAGCUGGAUUGGGUGGCUCCUGUGGGCCAAUCAGACUGCUGCAUUCUGGACCCUAUUGUUCUAGGACCAAUCAGACUGCUGCCUUUUGGAUCCUAUUCAACUCAGUACAUAACAAAGAAUCUGGCAUCCUAUGGCAGAAGCACACUAAGACCCCACCACAAACUGACGCCACACUCACAAUCCCAGCCCAGCUUGAUUUACCCUUGCACAGAACAGUCACGAGGAGUCCUCUGUGCUGACUGACCGGAAUUUCUAUUGCAUCCUCACAGCCCUGGGUGAUGAGAGAUGCGUUCAUCCACCUUUCAAGCAGAAUUUUAUUGUUCUUGGAAACCUAUUUUAGCUCGUGAAUAGGGUACAGUUAACCUUUUUGUUUCCAAGAGAUGGGAUUAGCACCCUUGGCAAUGGUUCUGGGUCUGAGGAGAGAUGUCCGGGCUGAAGGAAUGCUGAAGGGCAACCAAUCUCUCAUCCUCUACUUCUGUUAGGUGGACGAGGUGAUGUGGGACGUGUCACGGGAGUUCGGGCUUUAAAAAGCUACCUAGUUCUGAACCGUCUGCCACAAUGAAGCCACAGGCCUCAACCCACUUACCCAAAAGUCGUCCCAAUCAGACUCAGGGGGCUGCUCAGGGGGAAGUGGUUGGAGAAGCUAAUGAACCUGCCUAAUCACAUUAUCCCAAUAGUCAUAAGCAACCACAUGUUAUUGAAUGCAUUUAAUGGGCUGGUUUGAAACACAUUAUUUACAGUAAUGAAUUCUAAAUGUGGAAUUUAUUAGGCCUGCCCAUGAUAUUAAGUUUGCAUACUUACAAGACAGAUAGACACCUAGCAGAGUCACUUUCCUCCAAAGUUAGUGUCCUCCUCGAGGCCUAUUUCUUACAAGUGAGUAAAUAAGGGGCAAGCAAUAUUUGUUUUGGUACCAAAGCAAUGAAUUCAUUCCUCUCCUUCUCAUUUCAUCUCCUCUUAGUCCUGCAGAACAAAAGGGGGCUAUUUGGGAAACCUCCUAUGAAAGCUAAAUUUUGCUUAGUGACCAAAGCAGACUAACAAUGCAAUCCUAUGGAUGUAUACUCUGAAAUAUAUGUGCUGGUGGGAGUCCAAGUGGCAGCAGCCAGCAGACGAUCGUGACGCUAGGAGUUCUGGUGGUGCAGAGGAGCUGAGUGUAACGGCACCAGCCCCAGAUUAGUGUAGCAAUGUAAACUGGCAAAAAUGUCUGAAUCUAAAUCAAAUCGGUGUUGGAAAUGGAAAGAGAAAGAAGAUUCUUUUUAAUCAUAUGUGGUGGUCUUGCAGUAAGGUUAAUGCUUACUGGGAAAUGAUAUACAGUGAAAUGAAAAAGAUGUUUAAAAUAACGUUUGCAUUUAAAAAAAACCCCAGAACCCUUUCUUUUGGGAAUUAUAGGGACAGAACUACCUAAAUUGUGUAGAAACUUAUUCAUGUAUGCGACUGCAGCGGCAAGAAUGUUACUUGCCUAAAAAUGGAAAGAAGCAGAAGUCCCAGCAAAGGAAGAAUGGAUACAAAAACUUAUGGAAUAUGCAGAAAUGGCAAAAGAAUAAGAAGAAGAAGAAGAAAUCAAGAUAACAAACAAACUUCGCCGGAAGAAUAAGAAAUCAAGAUAACAAACUUUUUAUAAAAGAAUGGAAAUGGUUUAUUGAAUAUUUACAUAUAAAUUGUAAACAGACAUUUAAACUGUAAACACUGGCAAGAUUAUUGUAAUAACCUGCAGUUACAUAAGAGUAUAUAUUUAAAGAAGAUAAAUAAAUAAGUUAAGUGAAUUUGGAUAGGUAGAAGAUAUUAAAGGUAAAUUUAAGGAACCGUAGAAAGAGGGGGGACGAAGUCAAGUUUUAAAAUGUCAAAAUGAUUGUAAAAUCAGUGAAAUUUAUAUAUCUGAAAAUUAUAAAUGUUUUUUUUUAAAAAAAAAACAAUACCAGAAUGGUGUAGCCAUGUUACUACCCCACCACAUUCUAUUCUGGCCCUAUGCUCAGGGUGGAAGUAGCGAUGGCGCCACCAUUCCAUAAGUCCCCACCAGUCCUUCCCCACCCUUGGAACAUCCCAUCUGGAGGGGAGGGACUUUUGCUGGCAGCCGCAGAGAGGGAUUUCACCAGCAACCUCCCCCCCCCAACACAUUCAGCGGGCAGAAAUGGCAGGUCAUUGUGAUGCCAGCUUAGACCCAAGAGACAGGCUUUUUUGAGGACCAUUGGCAAUUGCUGGCUGGGGCUGAUGGGCAUUGGAGUCUGAAAACAUCUGGAGGACAUUGAUGAGCCCACUCAAAUAGAAGCCCCCUACAUGAACCUAGCAGCUCUAACCUAUUAGAGGUUUUUUUAAAAAGUAAAGGACCCCUGGACGGUGAAGUCCAGUCAAAGGUGACUAUGGAAUUGUAGCACUAAUCUUGCUUUCAGGCCGAGGGAGCCAGCGUUUGUCCACAGACAGCUUUGCGGGUCAUGUGGCCAGCAGGACUAAACCACUUCUGGCACAAUGGGAACCAGAGCAGCGCACGGAAAUGCCAUUUACCUUCCUGCCACAGCAGUACCUAUUUAUCUACUUGCACUGGCGUGCUUUCAAACUGCUAGGUUGACAGGAGCUGGGACCAAGCAACAGGAGCUCACCCCGCCACAGGGAUUCAAACUGCUGACCUUCUGAUCAGCAAGCCCAAGAGGCUCAGUGCUUUAGACCACAGCGCCACCCGCGUCCCAACCUGUCAGAAUCCAGAGUUCUACUACCCAGGUUUUAUUGAGUGCUCAAGCUCUCUCUCUUUUUCUCAGCACAAGCUAGCGGGGCAGCCAUGGUGGCUACUUUACAGAUGCCAGUCCUCUGUUUGUAGAACUGUAGGAGGACAGUCCUCUAUUUGAAAGAACCCUCUGGUUAGAGGGCUGGUAGUAAAGCAAAUUAUUUGCAUAAGCGCAUUAUUUGCAUAAGCAUAUUAUUUGCUUAGGCAACUGUUAUUGACACAACCGCACAUCCAGACUUUCAAGCAAAAUUGCCACUAUAGUGACAUGAAGUUUAAAUGGUCAAUUGUUUUACUUUUAGCAGCACUAGCCAAAAUGUGGGAGUUUAAAUUUAUAACACAACAGAAAAGGGGUAAGUGAUAAAAGGACAGGGCCAGAAGGAAUAAAUCAGUGUGAGUGAGUGUGUGUGUGUGUGUGUGUGUGUGUGUGUGUGUGUAUAUAUAUAUAUAUAUAUAUAUAUAUAUAUAUAUAUAUAUAUAUCACUCUCAGGCACGAGUGUUUCCAACAUAUUAAUUUAUGGAGGGCCUCCUAUUGUUUUAGUGUAAACAGGAGUCAAAAUCCAUUGACAGUUGGAAGAGGCCAGCGAAAAUGUUUUCAAAGAAAGCUCUUUAGGAAAUAGCUGUUCCAUUCACUGAAACAGUUCCUGUAUCACAACCGCAGCGCUGUUCAAAUAUAAACAAAUAUUUUCAUUGCCACGCCACAAAGGGACUUCAGCAGAAAGCUGGCUAGAUAUGAAAACAAACUUUGGCAUCUAAAGGGCUUUUGAUACACAUGACUUACUCUUAUGACAAGAGGCUGUGCAGAGGAGCGCAAGAAGCUUAUUUCAUAUGGUACAAAAGACUUUUGUUUACCAUCUCUCUGGACAUCUUGGGAAUUGCAAGCAGCAGCACGGCUGGUGUCCUCGCUUUAUGGCUUCACAACGUGAAGGGAUUUAGAAAAGACUUAUGGGUUCAGCCACAAAGCAAAUGGGCUAUCCCAAACAGUAGCCCUCUGAGAGCAAUAUGGAAAAGUAAUGGAAAAAUCUAUACAAGGAGGUUGUGUUGUUGUUUUUUUAAGUUGGCAUAGUCCCCACUUCCCAAAACUAUCAAGGCAGUCGUUUUCUCCUUCUCAGCUUCACUUCUUUAUUAACCCCUCAACGUUAUCCAAAAUUAUAUUCCUGCUUUGCCCUACUACUUUAUUUUCUGCCAGAGAAAUGUAGAGUUUGAGACGUCAAGGACUAAAUUGCAGUGUUUUCAGCCCCUAAAAAUUCAUAAUGAGCCUUACCCUGUUAGAAGUGGGAUCAGGGAGGGUACGUAGUUUAUAUUUUAAGAAUAAAUAAUUUUACCAACGUCUCUUUUUUUUUAUUCAAAAUUAUAACAAGACAUAUUAUCCAAAAACAUAUCAUCCUUGUUUCCCCCCCCCCCAUUUUUCCUCCCUCCCCCAUUCUCCCACACAACCCCCCCCCCCCCCGACUUCCCUCAGUUCCAGUCUUUGGUUUCUCUGAGACUGCUGUUUUCUGCAUGUUACAAAGUUGUAUAGAUCCUCAAACUGUUUAGCUGAUUAUUAUCAAUAAAAAAUUUUUGAAUGUUUAUUCAGAACCUGCCAAGGAGUCCAGUUCGCUUUGUUGCAUCUUCAGAUACUUUGUAAAGGGUUCCCAUUCAUCCUUAAAGUCACAGUUAUGCUUGUCCCGUAGUUUGUAUGUCAGUUUUGCCAGUUCUGCAUAGUCCAUCAAUUUUUCUUUCCAUGAUUCUUUAGUUGGGGUUUCUUCAGUCUUCCAUCCUUGUGCUACCAGAACUCUCGUGGCCGUUGUCGCAUACAUGAAGAUGUUUUUCAGCUUUUUUGGCAGGUUUUCCCUACAAUCCCCAACAAAAAUCUUUAUAAUUUUUUUCUUUUAAGAGUAGUACAGAGCCCACAAUCACCUGCCAUGUGGAAGCAGCCUAAGAACACAAAAAGAGCCUGUUGAAUCAGGUCACUAGUCCAUCUAGUCUAGCAUCCUCUUCUCAUGGGGCCAACUAGAUGCCUGUGCAAAACCCUCAAACAGGAUUUAAAAAAAAUAAAUUCAAAAUUAAAACGAGACAUAUUAUUCAAAAACGUAUCAUCCUUGUCCCCCCCCCAUUCUCCCACACAACACCCCCCCCGACUUCCCUCAGUUCCAGUCUUUGGUUUCUCUGAGACUGCUGUUUUCUGCAUGUUACAAAGUUGUAUAGAUCCUCAAACUAUUUAGCUGAUUAUUAUCAAUAAAAAGUUUGUGAAUGUUUAUUCAAAACCUGCCAAGGAGUCCAGUUCGCUUUGUUGCUUCUUCAGAUACUUUGUAAAGGGUUCCCAUUCAUCCUUAAAGUCACAGUUAUCCUUUUCCCGUAGCUUAUAUGUCAGUUUUGCCAGUUCUGCAUAGCCCGUCAAUUUUUCUUGCCAUGAUUCUUUAGUAAUUUUACCAACUUCUGAGGGGUCAUGAUAAGAUAGGAUUUGGCAACCAGGUCCAACUUUCCCCACCCUUGCGCUAAUAGCUGCAUAGCCAACAAAAAUUCAACAAUUACAUUUUCCUAGCCUGCAGAUACUGUGAUGGGGAAAGCAUCAUCUCCUGAAAUUCUGCUCCUUAUGUCUGUGUUAAAGGCACAGGAGAGCUGCCCAGGAAAAAAGCUGGCAACCUUUCUCCCACAGGAACAGGGAUAAGUAUGAUUGGGUCGGAUGGCAAUGCUUUUAUAUUCCCAAGCCUGCCCCAUUUACAUAUAAAGGGUGGGGCUUAUGGCAUCUGAUUUCAUAACAAAAGUUUGCAUAGGUGAGAGGAGCUGAACCUUUCCUGCAUCCCAUGUCCCAUUGCGACAGCAGCAUCACCACCAUACAGAUAUGAUGGCAAAAAAUGGGUCCCCAAAUGCAUUUUGGGGGUUAAAGGUGGUGUCCCGGUCUUAUUCAACAUCUUUAUCAAUGACUUGGAUGAUGGACUCAAGGGCAUCCUGAUCAAAUUUGCAGAUGACACCAAACUGGGAGGGGUGGCUAACACCCCAGAGGACAGGAUCACACUUCAAAACGACCUUGACAGAUUAGAGAACUGAGCCAAAACAAACAAAAUGAACUUUAACAGGGAGAAAUGUAAAGUAUUGCACUUGGGCAAAAAAAAUGAGAGGCACAAAUACAAGAUGGGGGACACCUGGCUUGAGAGCAGUACAUGUGAAAAGGAUCUAGGAGUCUUGGUUGACCACAAACUUGACAUGAGCCAACAGUGUGACGCGGCAGCUAAAAAAGCCAAUGCAAUUCUGGGCUGCAUCAAUAGGAGUAUAGCAUCUAGAUCAAGGGAAGUAAUAGUGCCACUGUAUUCUGCUCUGGUCAGACCUCACCUGGAGUACUGUGUCCAGUUCUGGGCACCACAGUUCAAGAAGGACACUGACAAACUGGAACGUGUCCAGAGGAGGGCAACCAAAAUGGUCAAAGGCCUGGAAACGAUGCCUUAUGAGGAACGGCUAAGGGAGCUGGGCAUGUUUAGCCUGGAGAAGAGGAGGUUAAGGGGUGAUAUGAUAGCCAUGUUCAAAUAUAUAAAAGGAUGUCACUUAGAGGAGGGAGAAAGGUUGUUUUCUGCUGCUCCAGAGAAGCGGACAUGGAGCAAUGGAUCCAAACUACAAGAAAGAAGAUUCCACCUAAACAUUAGGAAGAACUUCCUGACAGUAAGAGCUGUUCGACAGUGGAAUUUGCUGCCAAGGAGUGUGGUGGAGUCUCCUUCUUUGGAGGUCUUUAAGCAGAGGCUUGACAACCAUAUGUCAGGAAUGCUCUGAUGGUGUUUCCUGCUUGGCAGGGGGUUGGACUCGAUGGCCCUUGUGGUCUCUUCCAACUCUAUGAUUCUAUGAUUCUAUGAGAACAUUGAAGACUACUGAUCAAAGAAAUUGCUCGAGCUACGAACAAAGUUAAGUGGCACACAAACAAAUAUCUUAGAGGCUUUCGCAGACAAUCCAGCAAGAGACACCAUCCAGUUUCCCUUCUGUCGCUCCUUGAGAGGAUUUCUAGUUCCACUUUAUUAGCGUGCUUUUGCUGAGCUGAAGGACUCGCCAUAUUUAGUCACAGAAUAUUAGUCAUGGAAAUAACUGAGUGACGGACUAUUUCUUUUCCUGACAGAUAAAGUCAUAUUAUACAGAAGUGUGAGGGGGCCGGGGAAGGCUGAGAGGAGGCAAGAGGAAGUUCAAUAAAUAAGAGAAACAGACCUUUUACAUUCUGAAAUCUAAGCAUGCAGAUUCUGCAUUCUGGGAAGAAAAUUUACUUAAGCAAAACAAAAUAACAAAAGGAUGGAAAACAGGUAUGCAGCCAAUUCCUCCACUCCACCAACCCAGUUCAUACAAACUUCUUAAAAAUUCUGCAGUUAUACGCUGAUCUCAAAUCUCUCACCUCUCACCACUGGCUUGGCCUUUGCAUAUCCAAAUUCUGAAAGGCUAAUUACUGGUCAAACCAAAAAGCACAGCUCUAUAUUCAUGUGCUACUGUUGUUGUUGUUGUUUAGUCGUGUCCGACUCUUCGUGACCCCAUGGACCAGAGUAUGCCAGGCACUCCUGUCUUCCAAUGCCUCCCAGUUUGCUCAAACUCAUGCUGGUAGCUUCGAGAACACCGUCCAACCAUCUCGUCCUCUGUCGUCCCCUUCUCCUUCUGCCCUCCAUCUUUCCCAACAUCAGGGUCUUUCCAGGGAGUCUUCUCUUCUCAUGAGGUGGCCAAAGUAUUGGAGCCUCAGCUUCACGAUCUGUCCUUCCAGUGAGCACUCAGGGUUGAUUUCCUUAAGAAUGGAGAGGUUUGAUCUUCUUGCAGUCCAUGGGACUCUCAAUGGGCUACUAGGAAUGGGCAAAUCUGUGCUACUAUUUCAUGUGCUACUAGGAAUGGGCAAAUCUGUCAAAUUUGGCUUUUCUCAGUUUUAAUUUUUCCAGUCUUACAAUUCAGUUUUCCAGAUUUCCUCAUCAGCUUGCCUUUUUUUUUUAAAGUGCUCAUGAGAAUCCACGAGCAUUUUAGUGCCAGCUUCUCAUAUACACAUUUUAUAUGCACAUUGGGCGAUUGUGCACAUUUUUGCAAUGUACUUUCCCCCAGUAGAAUGCAUUUUUAUAUGUUAUUUUCACUAAUAUAUACAUUUUGAUGCACAGUUUAUUCUGGUAUAUGCUUUAACUUCUUUUUUCAGGUAUAACGAGGCUGGAUAAUUACAUUGCAAAAUUCAGAAAAGUGCAAAUUUCAAAGGAUCUCAACAUUUCGGUUAACAUAUUGUUUCAAGUAAGUGCAAAUUUGAUUCACCUUUAAAUAUGAACUGCAUCAAACUUUUUCCCCAUCUCCAUCUGUCAAUGGAUGGGGGCCUUUAGUUUUUCAAUUUUCCCUCGCCAGCACUGACUAUUUCCUGCUUCCUUCCCCACUUAGAAUCAGCCUCAUGUUUCCUCUCAGCCAUGUGAAUCCCAUAUUCUGAAAGAUCAGCAAACACAUUUCUACCCCUUGGCAAUCAUUUUGGACUUCCUCUCCCAGACUCUGGGGCCAUCUUCACAUAGAGAAAUUCCUCGCACGGUAGCUAGCUGUCUAUCAUAAGUAGAGGCGGAGGUGUAUCUGGAUUGGUUAACAUUUCAGUGUAAACCUACACCAUCCACACUCUCUGAAACAACAUGCGGACCAAACCACAGCUAUCCUUUAAAAUUUGCACUUCUCCAAAUCUUGUGACGCAGUUCUCCAGCCCUCCCAAAAAAGGGUACAUAUUGAGGGGAAGUGUGCUUAUGAUGUAUACAUUUGUGAAAAUAACAAAUGAAAAAUACAUUCUAUUACUGGGAAUUGCUUCCAAAAUGUGCAUAUUAAGGGAGCACUAAAAAUGAGCACUAAAAUGCUGACGCGUUUUCAUGAUAACUUUUUUUUUAAAAAAAUGCAAGCUGAUGCAGAUAUAUGGCAAAUGGAACUUAACAAUGGGAAAAUAAAUGAAUAGUGGGGAAACCAAAAUUGACAGAGUUGCCCAUCUCUCAUUAUAAGCUAGCAUCUGUGAUACCUUAUUAUUAUUAUUAUUAUUAUUAUUAUUAUUAUUAUUAGUCCAUCAUGUCCAUCAGGAAGAUUGGUCCCUGCUAGUCCAAUAAAACCAUCAUGUGAUGCAGCUACCUAGGAGGCAAGUACAGUAACAGGGGGAGGAGGCUGUGGUCUUUGAGCCAGUCUCGGCCCAUGUGCUUUGGCAUUCCUCCAAAGGUGAGCCCACGAACACGGCUUCAGCUGAGAAGUGUUAUCUGUGCUCUCAAAGACAAUGUAAUUUGUAGGACUGCAGGGUACACAAUUUUGCUCCGUCUUUUUAAUGGCAUUAGAGUGCAGUCGGCAACACCCACUUCCACAUGUUGGUUGCGUUUAUGCCUCGGAGAAACCAGAACAUUUGUAACAUCAGAUCUGGCAAAGGGCCAGAUUUCCACAGGGCAUUAGUAACAAACUGGUGAAGCUCAUUAAAAAAAGAGAGAGAAAGAGAGAGAAACCUAUAACCAUUAAAAGUCCAUUAAGCAGCAUGUCAUUUUGUAGAGCUAAAUAGCCCACAGUAAUCAAAAGCAUAUGAACCCCAGCUGGGUUACCCAGCGAAUUGUUUCGAUUUAGGGGGAGAAUUCAUCAAGAAAGAUUGCUCUUCAGAUUGGGUUGAUUUUUCUCCUUCAGUUGCUGGCUCUAUGUUCCAUUAUAAUUAAAGUGAUUGAUGGAUCUCGCAGGCAGAGGUGAGGAGUGACCGAAAUAGCCAGGAACAUCCACUCCAGCCAAGUCAAGCAACGGCAGUGACUAAAUGCGGAACUCCUGCUGCAAAGCACGUAACUCGAGGUUCUUCUCCCACUGUCAAUUUGAUAUGGAGGGGAGAGAGGGGAGAGAAGUUUGCCUUCUUCUCUUUCCUGAGUCAUGUGCCAAGUUAUAAUUUUUGACUCACCAAAGGAGAGAAUUAUUAGGAAAGCAGAGGGAACCUGGAAAGAGAAGUCCAUCAUCUACACACUGAAAAACUGCAAAAUGAGUCAAUACAAAACAAUAAUAAGAACGCCAUACCUAUUUCUUGCACCAUAGCAAGGGGAAAGACACAGGUGAUGCUUUAUUGGGACCACCUGACCUUCCUACCCUCAGAUUUAGUGCUCCACAAUAGCCAGAGAAGACAGUGAUGGCCAGUUAAAUACAGUGGUACCUUAAGAACAGCUUAGUUUAUGAACAAUUUGGAUUAAGAAUGCCGCAAACCCGGAAGUAGGUGUUUUGGUUUGUGAACUUUGCCUUGGAAGCAGAAAAUGUUUCGCUUCUUGUUGAGUGUGUUCCAUUUGUAAAUUGAGACCCCCGCUGCUAUGGGGAAGCAUGCCUUGGUUUAAGAAUGUUUUGGUUUCAGAACGGACUUCCGGAACAGAUUAAGUUCGUAAACCAAGGUACCACCGUACAGAGCCAUGAAUCAGUUGCUGGUGGUUUCUAAACUGAACUCUGUCAUUUGUUUGCCAUGCAUGUACUCCGAAGAUCUAGGACACUAUUUCUUUUCUUGCUGUUGCUAGGUUUGAAACACAAGCGAAUGCCUACUACACCAUAGCCAGUUUGGAGUGGAGGCUAGAAUGUUGGACUAGAGAGAUCAAAGUUCAAAUCUCCACAGAGCUUACUGGUAAACUGCAGGCCAGUAUUUCUCAGCCUAACCUAACUCUUUGGGUUGUUGUGAAGGUAAAUGGGGGGGGGAGGGAAUGAUGUAUGCUGCCUUGGGGGGAAAGAUGGGAUAUAAACAGCGGUGGCCGGAGAAGAGGCAUGGGUGAGGCAUCACUGUUGACCUGACUUCCCAGUGCCACAUGCUGCUGCCAGUCACUGGGAGGGAUGUGGGGAGGCAGCAGAGAGUUUGCCAGGAUGCAGGCACAGAACCGGGCACUUCAGAGCCCACCCACAGGGCACCCUGCUGCCUUACGCCUACCCAUUCCGGUAACCUUCUAGAUAUAAAUGCAAUCAAUAAAUGAAAUGAAAUGGUUCGUCAAUCUUGAGGAUGAUGCCAAGCCAAAGUCUGUUGUUAGCAGACGACAAGGUGGACAUAUCUUGGUGAGCGCAGAGCAGAAGACUCGUGCAAGUGAACCUAAUCUCAAAAAGUCAAAACAGAACCCAUCCACCACAAAACAUCACCCCAGCCAGUCUGAUCAGGGAGAUGCUGUAACGCCUCUUUGCCAAAGAUGUUCAUUGACUACUACUGAGCAUUUUGAAAAUGCCAUUUGAGAAUUCUGAUGCCACUGUAUCUAAUAAGCAGAUGGACACCGCAACUGAAAUCAGAGUUAGGGCACCAGUUCUGUGUAGCAUCUGAAAUUAUGCAGCCUGGAUCCAAAGUGUUGUGUGUGUGUGUGUAUAACCAAAUAUGUCUAUGCGCACAGACAGCCUCUCUAAAUUACCCCUUCCAACUGUAGCUCCUCGUGAUCCAGGUUUUUCUCCAUUGACAAGGCAACCCCUCAAACUUGAUAAGUAUCUCACAGUGAGUCCCCUGUGUUAUAUUGUGGGGCUAUUGUACAAGAAGAACAAAUUCAGGGCUUGUUGUGCAAGCUGCAGCUUCUGAAAUGCCCUCUUCUACACAACUACUAAAGUUCCAGGAGACUUGCCACCCUUUCAUCUCUUUUUUACCAUAUUUCUUGCCUUAGGGGAAGCCCUCAUUUUUCCUUCUUCUCCCCUUCUCCCUCCAAGUCUGAUGUCUAGUCAUAAGAUCUGCCUGAUCACACCAAUGGCCCAUCUAGUCUAGCAUCUGUUCUCACAAUGGGAAACCAGAGGACCAUGGGAAAUCCACCAGCAGAAUUCUCCCCACUUGUGAUCCCCAGUAACUUUUGAAAGUGGAGGCACAGCAUAGUCAUCAUGCCUACUGGCCACUGAGAGCCUAAUCUGCCGUGAAUGUCUCUUAAUCCUCUUUUAAAGCCAUGUAAGAUUACAUCCCAUGGGAACCACCUCCACAGUUUAACUAUGCAUUGUGUAAAGAGGUAUUUUCUUCAUCCUGAAUCUUCCAACAUAUCGUUUCAUUGGAUACCGCAGGUGUUGUGGUAUGAUAGAGAAAUAAAAAAUCUUUCUAGCUCUUGCUCCGCACCCAAUACUGUAUAAUGUUGUCCCUACCCUCUAGGAGAGCACAAAAUAUGGUCUGAAGCUCAACAUCAAAAAAACUAAGAUCAUGGCUACUGGGCCCAUCACCUCCUGGCAAAUAGAAAGGGAAGAAAUGGAGGCAGUGAGAGAUUUUACUUUCUUGGGCUCCAUGAUCACUGCAGAUGGUGACAGCAGUCACGCAAUUAAAAGACGCCUGCUUCUUGGGAGAAAAGCAAUGACAAACCUAGACAGCAUCUUAAAAAGCAGAGACAUCACCUUGCCAACAAAGGUUUGUAUAGUUAAAGCCAUGGUUUUCCCAGUAGGGAUGUAUGGAAGUGAGAGCUGGACCAUAAAGAAGGCUGAUCGCCAAAGAAUUGAUGCUUUUGAAUUCUGGUGCUGGAGGAGACUCUUGAGAGUCCCAUGGACUGCAAGAAGAUCAAACCUAUCCAUUCUGAAGGAAAUCAGCCCUGAGUGCUCACUGGAAGGACAGAUCGUGAAGCUGAGGCUCCAAUACUUUGCCCCCCUCAUGAGAAAAGAAGACUCCCUGGAAAAGACCCUGAUGUUGGGAAAGAUGGAGGACACACGGAGAAGGGGAUGACAAAGGACGAGAUGGUUGGACAGUGUUCUCGACGCUACCAACAUGAAUUUGACCAAACUGCGGGAGGCAUUGGAAGACAGGAGUGCCUGGCGUGUUCUGGUCCAUGGGGUCACGAAGAGUCGGACACGACUAAAUGACUAAACAACAACAACCCUCUUACUUGCCUUUUUUAUAAACUAAAAAGUCACUGUUUCCAGCACUGGUGUGGGAACAGGACUGCCUCACUGCUGCAUUCCUUCCUCUGGCUCCCUGCUUUGUUGUCUUGCAAGUUCCUGGACAUGGCUGAAACAGAUCUUUUCCUUUAGCCAGCAAAAUCUAGGGUUGUUGUUUAUAGGUAGCAUCUAGUCUAUGGGCCACCGGUUAUCAGUCAGUGUUCUUUAUCAGUCUUUGCUUUUUAGACCAUCACACUCACAGGACUGCAGCUGAACCUCUUAGGAGUGAACACAAACAGCUAUUUAACGCAUGCUGGAUUAAUGGAGUAGGCACCUGAUAGCCAAAUGGGGAGCUGGCUGUCUCUAGCAUGCCCACAUAGUCAGGAAAAUGUUACCAGCACCAUAGGCAUGUACUGAUCACCAUUCCAAGGAAGCAAGAAAACAUUGCAAUUUGUCCUCCAGCUACUUCCAUAGAACGCUACUGCUCUGUAAAUGACCAUCUGUGUUUAUCCUGCGUGUUGAAUACAGAACAAAGCAAACUUCAUCCAUUCGCAGGCAAAGAGUUCCAACUGAAGUACUGCACUUUACAUGCAGUACAGCAGAGGCUUCUGCUAUAAAAGGCUGGCUUCUCAUGUCCUUUUAAAUAUAUAUAUUCGUGUGAAUUGCCAAUGGCCAAGAUUCAUUAAAAGACCUUUUAGGUUUCCCUAAAACACAGAGCAAAGAUCAACUUUACUGUGCAAAAGCCUACAUUUCCCCCUAGUAUAGUAUCUUUGAAGAGCUGCGCUGCUACAUUAGUCUAGGAAGCAGCAAUGGUAGCUGUAAUGGUACUUUCUAAAUGAAGGGUCAGCAACAGUGUACAUAUGGCCCCUUGCUCAUUUCUCGCCAUGUGUUGUUAAAAGUUCCGGAUUGUAACAACAAGAACAAAAGAUGGCAAAAUCCCAAAGGAUCGGAAACGAAGAAGAAGGCAUGUAAAAAGGAGCCAAAAUUCACUUGACUGAAAUGCAUCCAUUUAUGUAGGCUUCGUGUUCCACACUUUUAAUUAAGCUCUUGAGGAUUAUCACCUAAUUCAGUGAAAAUAGAGAGAGUUGGCUGCAUGAUUCUGUCGGAUAACAUAAAAGGAGACAAACACAAGUUUCAGACCCUUGGGGUCAAUAGCAACUGGUGGAAAGAAAGCGAUUGUGCAAGAGAAAUAAAUCUGAUUGUUAAGGAAAGAAACUCAAUGAGAGAAACAAAAUGAGGGAAGGGAUUGUUUUUUUCUUCUCCCACCAUCUCCUCCCCCCUUUUUUUUUUUGAAUGGGGAUUCCCAUGGGAAUUGGGCUGAUGCUGAGGGAUUAUUUAAACAAGAAAGCCAAGGUUAGCACCAGUUAAUGACCAGUUUGUUAGCUAACAGGCUGUUAACACUCCAACAAACUGGUUGUUAAAAGUGGUUACUGCGUAUUUUGUUGGAGAUUUAUUAGAAACUUGUUUCAACCAUUUAAUGCGGGGAGGGAAUUGCUUUAAUGUGCACACCUGGAAGUCCACAAAGCCAGACGAUGGUCUGAAAGUGCUCUGCUUGGAUUUAAAUGAAAUUAAUAAUAAUAAAAAUAAACCUUACCCAGCAACAGUUCUCUUUCCACCUUCUUCCCCUCCUCAUCCCCAGUAAUGGAGAAUGAGAUGCGUACUGAUUCUUUAAUAGAUUCAUAGCUAAUAAGACCCACUUGAACGCUCAUUAUUUAGUAGUAUCAUUAUGGUAAGUGGGUCUGAUCGGUCUGCAGCAGCCCAGUGCAAAUCUCAUAAUUAUUAGACAAAACUUUGAUAAAACUCAUAACAAUCUCUCAGGGGGCUUAAUCCAUUUGCAGAUUCUGGAGGGAGAGAGAGAGAGAGAGAGAGAGAGAUUAAAAUACCUAUUUAAAAAUGCAAGGAAAUGAUUUCCUAAAAUGGAAUUCUGAGGGCAAGCGGUUAGAACUAAAUUCAUUUUGAUUUCUUCCUCUCAUUGUACCCCAAGAGGGAAUUGUUGUGUGCACCCCCAUGGAUCUUUACCUCACAACAGCCCUGCGAGAUAAAUGAGAGGCUGUGGAGUUGCCAAAGGCCACUUUGAGAAGGCCAAGCUGCUUGCGUGUUCAUGCAUCUGCCCUGUUUGUGUAUCUUCAUUCUCUCUGUGUGUGUGUGUGUGUGUGUGUGUGUGUGUGUGUGUGCGCGCACACACACACACACACAGCCUUGAUUUUUGCAAUAAAAGUUUUGGGGGGCAAGAAGAACUGAUCUCAGAGCCAGUUUCAGCUGUGAGAGGUCCUAACAAAACACCGCUGAACCUUUUGUUACGUAAAUACAAUACUGGUAACGACACACACGACGUAACAGGCUGUAUGUAACAGUAUAACUUUUAUUUCAAGAACAAUUCAACAUAUCUUGUCACAAUAUGUAAUUCCAUAGACCAAAUUACCACAUGAACGGAACAUAUACUGAGAGAUUAACGUCCAAUGGAUUGAUCAGGAGAUACAGUCUAUUCAGUUCUUAUAUUAGCAAUAACCACGAUGUGGAAUGCUUAUUAUCAAUCUUGUAGUGUUCCACGUGUCGAUGCUCUUGUGAAUUCUAGCGUUCCUUGUAAGUAGUUAUCAGAUGAAAAACUGGAAAGUAUGGCACGUGCAGAAAAUAAGACAAGGAUUCCAGGAUAAUUUCUUGUUUCACCCAACUGGGCUUCGUCAGCCGUGCAUAAUCUGGAUUAUAUAAACGAACAUACAACUCAGCAGCAUCCUAAGGCAUUGUGGGAAUUUUAAAUGGCAGCUCUGAAGCCCAACUGCCUAGCACUGGGAAAGGCAUCAUCGUAGCAUUGGCCUUGUUGGAGCAAUGGAAUGGCGGCAGCAGCUGUACUUGUCUAUGGGUGUCAAAUGGGACCUUUUCUCCAAAUGCAAAUAGCAGCUGUGUGUGUGUUAGGACUAUGAUGGAGCCCCAAUCCUGCUUGCCCCACACCCAGCAGUGGCUAUUGGCAUUUUUUAAAUCAUUCAUGCUAAAUGCAAUAAUGCAUUAGGUAUCACAGCCCAUUUGAUUCUCCAUUCCUUUAUUUAACAUUACCUCAUAACUUAUUCCUGUGACUGCAUGCACACUUGGGAGCAAAUACAUUGAACCUGCAGGAACAUUGACACACUGAAGUAGGAUGCAAGAAGUCACAGGGAAUAACCUGUUUAUGUGCACAGAUUACACAAAACAGUAAAACGACAAUCCUAAACAAACUUACUAAGCCCUGUGAAAUUAAUGCUUCUUACUUCCAAAUAAAUAUUUACAGAUGGUAAGUCUUGUGCUUGCUUGUUUGAUUAGGGCCCGACACACAGAAUUGUCCAAAAGCAAGAGAACGUUGGUUAAAGAUAUGUCAGAGUAAAACAGCAGACAUUAAGCUGGAAUGUGACUCUUUGUUGCUCUUAUGUAAGUUUUGUAAUAUUGCAGAAUAUUUAUGCAAAAAGUGGAGAACAUCAGUAAUUCCUUUCAUUGAUGGGAGUGAGAAUAGGAAAGUAUGGCUGUGCCAUCAUAAAUGAUGAAAAUGAGAGAGUAAAGUAUAUGAGUAUGCAGCUGUGUCUUAAUUACCGUAUUUUUCGCACCAUAGGGCACACCGGACCAUAGGGCGCACCCAGUUUUUAGGGGGGGAAAUCAAGGGGGGGAUUUUUUCCCCCAGCCCCAAAGAGCAGCGUACAGGCUGCGCACAACCUCUUCCUGCCGGAGGGGUUACGCGCGGCUAUGGCACAAGCCAAGGCAGCGAGCAGGAUGGAUCCCACUCACUGUUUUGGCUUCCUCUUUAGCCCCGCACAACCUCUCCUUGCUGGGAGAUGCUGCGCAGGGCUAAAGAAGCCAUAGCCCCGUGCAGCCUCUCCCUGCCGGAGGGGUUGCGAGCAGCUAUGGAGCAAGCCAAGGCAGCGAGCGGGAUGGAUCCCGCUCGCUGUUUUGGCUUCCCCUUUAGCCCCGUGCAGCCUCUUCUUGCCAGGAGACGCUACGCAGGGCUUCUCCUGGCUUUCUUGGGAGGUGGUUGGAUUCCCUCAGCUCUCCCAAAAGCCCGCAGAAGCCGCGCAACCCCUUUAAAGAGAUCACGGCUUCUCCUGGCUUUUCUGGGAGGUGGGAGAAGGGACUGAUGCGGCCAGUCAGUCCCUUCUCCCUCCUGUGGAAAAGCCCGCAAGAGCGCACGGAGCUUGUGUGCGGCUCUUGGGGGCUUUUCCCGCCUGCCUCCCCCCUGCAUUCGCUCCAUAGGACGCACAGACAUUUUCCCUUGCUAUUUAGGAGGGAAAAGUGCGUCCUAUGGUGCGAAAAAUAUGGUAAGUAAAGGAAUUCUUUGUCCCAAAGGUUAGCUAAGCAUCCUUUUUAUCUGGCUUCUGUAGGUAAUUAAUUAUGUGCUGCUUGGUGUAUUGAUUACUAGCACUGUUUUGUUUUGUUUUUAAUUUAAAAAAGUAUUUGCUACUGUUUUAUUAUUUGCUUUAUUUUAUUUUCAGUAUUUAUAUCCCACCCUUCACCAAAAGGUCAAAGGGCCAAUCACAACAUGUUAAAAACAGAACAACAAAACACCACAAAGAGUUUUUUAAAAUCCAACAAUCCUUAGUUCAUUUAAUUACAGUUCCUACAUAUCUGACAAUAUAGACAGUAUUCAUAGUAUCAUCUGCCUACUAGCCAAAUGAAACUGUUUCAACCAGCCACCAAAAAAGCCACUUAACACAGGGGCACGACUGAUUUUUAGUUUGGUUAAUUUGCAUUUUCAUGACUGGAUUACUGUUGCUUUUAUGCUUGAUUUUUUGAAAACAACCAAGGCCACUUCUCAUGGAACUUUGGGAAGGGAAUGCAGUUCUCCUUAUAAGUACAGUUCCCUGGAUUCUUUGGGGGAGCCGUGACUGUUAAAACAGUAUAAUCAUGCUUUAAAUGUAUACCUGAAGGAGCGUCUCCACCCCCACCGUUCUGCCCGGACACUGAGGUCCAGCGCCGAGGGCCUUCUGGUGGUUCCCUCAUUGCGAGAAGUAAGGUUACAGGGAACCAGGCAGAGGGCCUUCUCGGUAGUGGCACCCGCCCUGUGGAACGCCCUCCCACCAGAUGUCAAAGAGAAAAACAACUACCAGACUUUUAGAAGACAUCUGAAGGCAGCCCUGUUUAGGGAAGUUUUUAAUGUGUGACAUUUUAAUGUAUUUUUAAUCUUUGUUGGAAGCCGCCCAGAGUGGCUGGGGAGAUCCAGCCAGAUGGGCGGGGUACAAAUAAUGUAUUAUUAUUAUUAUGCAGAUGGCACCCAAAUGAUUUGGAACAGUGGCCGGAUAAGUACAGUGGUACCUCAGGUUAAGUACUUAAUUUGUUCCGGAGGUCCGUACUUAACCUGAAAUUGUACUUAACCUGAAGUACCACUUUAGCUAAUGGGGCCUCCUGCUGCUGCUGCACCGCUGGACCACGAUUUCUGUUCUCAUCCUGAAGCAAAGUUCUUAACCCGAGGUACUAUUUCUGGGUUAGCGGAGUCUGUAACCUGAAGCGUCUGUAACCCGAGGUACCACUGUAUAUGAACGAGGCCCUUUUAUAGAAAAUUUGUCCCAUAAUGACCAAUAAUAACAUCAAUGGCAUACUAAUCAUCUUGCCAGUUACCACUUCAGAUAUGACACCCUUUAAAAAGAAUUCUCAGUCAGUCUCAGGACUGGGAGCGAAUUAGACUCCAAGAAUCCUGACACACGAUGCAGCUUCUCUCCUUCCCUUGUUAUUUCUGUAUACUGAUCUUCUUUGUUUUUCAGUCAGUCCUCACUUCUAACCUCAUGGGCUUCUAUCAGCCUUCUCUGAACAACUGAGAUACACUCACCCCAUUGGUUAAUGAUAUUUCAUGAGCUAUAUUAGGAUUUCAGUGGCAUUGCUCUGGCCUUGUUUGCAAGAGCAUUUCAAAUAAGAUCAUGGACAUGCCUGAACUCUUAAUAAUUCUUGCAGUAACACUGCUUAAAAUCAGGUAGGCUGACAACGGGAGAGAAUAACUGAUAUUUUCAUUUAGCAGCAGAUGUGACUGGGAUUUAGAGGACGGUCUGAUUGAUGUCUCGGCUUCACUUAAAAUAAAAUAAUUAGGCGAGUAAAAAAUCUGAAAAGUAUAUUUUCAUUUUAACCGGCCUGCACUCUCUUCCGGGCUCCGAAGAAAGAAAGAAAGAUGACGGAACGUUACAAGAAUUGAAAUGAAGAGUCUGAAUAGAAGAAAUGAGCUGCUGUAGAUUAAUGGCAGAUGAGCAGUGGAUAUGAAAAUGGGGCUGGGAGGAUUUAAAUAAUCAGCAACUAAGAGGAAAAACCAAUAGUUCAGAAAGGGUGUAGAGAGCUCCAUUAACAACCAUUUUGGAAGGUAACAGAGAGUGGACAACAAUGUCAAAGGAGCAGUAAAGAGGCUCGAGUCUCAAGCUGGGGAAAUGAAUAAAACACCAGGAACAUGCUCACUUGGUUCCAUCUUGUAAGAAAUAUAAGACCCUCAGCAGGACUCCUUCAACCCACAACUUCCAUGUGCUGACAAGCAAGACAAGGCCCAUGAGCCAUGAGAGCGAAAAGUCUUGGUCCCCUUUUGCCUGAGGAUGACCAGAUGAAUGCAGAUGCAGGUGAAUCGACACCUGGCCAGAGCAAAGCUGUGGAAAUAUUUGACAGCAAGGUACAACAUCCUUCCUCAUUGGCAGGGAUCCUCAUUUUCAACUCCUGCAAAUUUUGUUCGAGGUCAAAUAAUAAAUGCAGUUAUAAAAGGAGUAAAAUGGUGAUUGCACCACCCGUCAAUGUACACACAGGUCCCACUUCCCAAACAGAAUGCAUUCCCAAUACAGUGUUCGUUAGGUGAGCAUUCGCAUAACGAGCCAUUCUUUCUUAUGGGAACAUUUCUAAUCUGUGAUCUCCCAAUGCCACCAUUGUUUUGUCUUAAAAUGGCCACAGCCAACCAGCAAAAGAGGGGCAAAGGAAAAGAUCUGUCCAAUCUCUCCAGCUCUCUCAUUUGUCCAAUGUCUGUCCCUGCUCCCUCUCUCCAUGGUUUCUGCCCCAGAAUGGCUGCCAUCAACCAGAAAAGCACAAAUAAGUAGGCAUGUGAUAUCUGAGUCGGCCAUGUGUGUGUAGGGUUGCCAUAUUUCAAAAAGUAAAAACCAGGGCACCUUGAAAGUUUCUGAGCUUUUUUGGACAAACGCCAAAGUUGUUGAACUUCUUUUUUACAAAAAUGCCCCCAAAAUGCGAUUUUUUUGAUUAACUUGCCUAAGAUUUACAUCUUUUGGAAAUCCCACCCCCAGAUGUUGAUUCCACCUUUGAAAUCCCGGUAAUGUCUGGGAAAAUCCAGGCAUAUAGCAGCCCUAUGUGUGUGGCAAGGUGUGGGUAAAAUUCUUCAUGGUACGUGAAUUUUCGCAUAAGAAGCAAGCCAUCCAUGGGCCCCUUUAUAUUGUACAUCCUUGAUUAUUUCUGCUCAUGGUGGUAUUGGGGCAGUCACACUGCUUCGUUUCCAAUCAGUGCAAGCCCCAUAAUCUGCUGAAAUUCUGUAACCUUUUACAGUGGUACCUUGGGUUAAGUACUUAAUUCGUUCCGGAGGUCCGUUCUUAACCUGAAACUGUUCUUAACCUGAAGCACCACUUUAGCUAAUGGGGCCUCCUGCUGCCGCCGUGCCGCCGGAGCAUGUCAGGGAACUGGGGGCUGAGAAGGGGAAAACACUGGGGAAAUACAGAGAGCAGCCUCCGAUAGUGAGCAGCUGCCCCUCGUCAGAGAGGGAGGAUGACGAAAGGUUGUCAGGGAGCAAUGAAUCAGGGAGGGGGGAGCAACUUCCGGGGCUUCGCUCUUUACAUAAAGGAGGCAGGAAAAGGGGAGGCUUCAGGAAGUUGUUAUGCUGGAGAAAAGGAAAGGAGGGGCCAGUCUCGGCAACUGACACCGAAUGAGGAGGACAUGCUUUUUGAGAGCUCCGGAUUGUAAAUAGUAUAAUGGACUUAAUAAAUCUUGUAAAGCUGGCUGGAGUCCCGGGCUGUUAUCUCUUCUAGCACCCAUCAACCAACCUCCUUGACAGAGCACGAUUUCUGUUCUUAUCCUGAAGCAAAGUUCUUAACCUGAAGCACCAUUUCUGGGUUAGCGGAGUGUGUAACCUGAAGUGUAUGUAACCUGAAGCGUAUGUAACAUGAGGUACCACUGUAUACCAGAAGUGCUCCAGGGAUUGGGUCUGUUUUUGUUGUGCUAUAGUGCCACAGUGCCCUCCCCCAUAUGCCUAUAAUGGGAUAACACUGAGGAUGCGUCUCAGAACAACUUGUAACUUGGAAUAAUGUGUGGACAGUCCAGUAUAAAUCCACCACGAAUACAAUAACAAAUACAAAUCAAUAACAUUUUACAGAAUAUACUCAUGGGGAAAAAGAACACUCUGGUCUUUUUACAUCAGUAUGAGACACCUUGUCAAACCCAUUUACAGUAUCGAUGCCAUUGAGGUUGCUGGGAAAAGCAGAAAGAACCACAUUUUGUAAUGGGGAAAAGGAUAGGGUUGAUUAUGUGGAUCCAUAAAGUCUGCGGCAGGAAAUAUGAACAAACCUUUGACUAUUUCCGUAGGGCUUUUGUUCGACCCAGUACAGGACUUCCAAGAUGGCAGUCAACACAGCAGCUUCAGAACUCUCAGGCAUGUUCAGGACACAGAACUUAAAAGCCUACCUGCCUACUGCUCCAUAACACAUUUGCUCUAGUAAAUAAAGUUUACUCAGCUAAAUUGGCCAAGAGUCCACCCCGGCUUCUGGGUAAUGCACUCAGUGAUUCAGGGGUCGUUUCUUCAAAAGGCAGAGGAAUAAAAUAAUACUAGGAAGUGGUCAAAUGGAAUGUACCAAUUAUUCAACUUGAUUCCUCUCUGCUAAUUAAGAGAACAAGCAACUUCUGAUUAGUAGGAAAGCAAACUGGCGUUGAAAGGAUGGCAUAGUAAUUAUUUUCUAGGCCUAUGUGCCCUUCAGAUGUCAUUAAAAGUGAUUUCUCUUCAAGCUCAGUUCAGGGAUAACUAUCCUUGAGUCCUGUGGCUUGGCUCAAGUUUUCUGGAGCAGAGUUGCUGCCAGCAGACCAUAAGAGAAAACCAGCCCUGAUGUGGUACCACUUCAGGCUGCAGCGGGGUCUGAACCCAAGAACAAACUACAUUUCUUCAGAAAAAUCUAGUGUGUGUGGAUCCUCAGCAGACCAUUUUUUGUAUAGCACUUAAAAUAUAUAUAUAUAUAUAUUAUUUGAUGAUGAAGUAGAAGAAGUCUGGGAGAAAGCUAGACUAGAAUCCCUGUCCCUGGCAUUUGGGCCCAUUGCGAUACACACGUCCCAAGGAGUAAGCCUCAAUGAGUAUACACUCAGCUCUGACUAGACAUGCAUAGGAUUGCUCUAUUAAUAUUCUAUAGUAUCAUGGCCACUGGUCCUGUCACCUCCUGGCAAAUAGAAGGGGAAGAAAUGGAGGCAGUGAGAGAUUUUACUUUCUUGGGCUCCAUGAUCACUGCAAAUGGUGACAGCAGUCACGAAAUUAGAAGACGCCUGCUUCUUGGGAGAAAAGCAAUGACAAACCUAGACAGCAUCUUAAAAAGUAAAGACAUCACCUUGCCAACAAAGAUCCGUAUAGUAAAAGCUAUGGUUUUCCCAGUAGUGAUGUAUGGAAGUGAGAGCUGGACCAUAAAGAAGGCUGAUCGCAGAAGAAUGGAUGCUUUUGAAUUCUGGUGCUGGAGGAGACUCUUGAGAGUCCCAUGGACUGCAAGAAGAUCAAACCUAUCCAUUCGGAAGGAAAUCAGCCCUGAGUGCUCACUGGAAGGACAGAUCCUGAAGCUGAGGCUCCAAUCCUUUGGCCACCUCAUGAGAAGAGAAGACUCCCUGGAAAAGACCCUGAUGUUGGGAAAGAUGGAGGGCACAAGGAGAAGGGGACGACAGAGGACGAGAUGGCUGGAAAGUGUUCUUGAAGCUACCAGCAUGAGUUUGACCAAACUGUGUGAGGCAGUGGCCAUGGGGUCACGAAGAGUCGGACACGACUAAAUGACUAAACAACAACAACAUUCUAUAGGGAGUUUUAACAUGGAGCAUUCCCCCAAGCAAUCGCUCACCUGUACUCUGAAAUGCUACACUUCUGAAGCAGUUGUGCCCAAGAUCUGAAAGUAUAAGUUUUCAAAUAUCCAUGUGUGACUCAGAAGGCAAAAAUGUGUCUCUAAAGAGCAACUAGAGUUGAAUGCAGAUAUUCAUCAUACAGUUUGUUUCUUUAAGGGAGCAGAACCCACUGAAAUAAAUAAAGCCAGACAAAUGUUCAGGUGAUGCUAUAGCCUGGGAUUUUAGUUAGAUACAUUUUUGCUAUUUGGUUCUGAUCAGCGGGGGGGGGGGGGCUUUCUCUUUAUCAUAUUUAAGUUGUUUCUUAUCAAUACUGUAAUUUAUCUUAUCCAACUAUGGAGUGGAGAAACUGCAUAAAAAAUAAGACGGGAUUAUGCUACUGGUCACCUCGACACCACAGACAACAGCACACUUCAGAGGGCAUCAAAGGAACUUUAGGAAAUAUGUGCAGCUGCAUGGAUUUGGAGAGUUGCAAUGAACAGGAAAAUGACACUCUGACCCUCAAUUAAUGUUUUAAAGGUAAGCACCCCAAGCCUGUUUGCUUGCCAUUAAUGGUACAUGGAAAUUGUGCGAUAAGGGCCCUCAAGAGUGGGUACGGCUCAAAAAACCUUAUAUCUAGCAAUGCACAGAGUUAGAAUAGAAAUCAGAUCAAAAGUAUGUUGGUAGUAGCACUUUAACCUAACUGUUGACAGAUGGAGAAUGGAAGCAACAUAAAUGCUCUCUUUUUGUGUCAGCACUAUAAAAAUGUCUGACUAGUCCAUGAAAGAUGGAGAUGAAAGCUCAGGCAGCCAUUAGAAGCUGUGCCUUACCUCGAGCAAUAACUCAUUCCCAUGGUAUUAUGAAAAUGGUUUUAUCGCAGUGGAUUACUUUUUUCCUUCUCUGCAAAAAUUACUGCUUAUCAGCACUGCAGAAAUAAAGCAAGCAACUCCCCGUCUUUUUUCUUCUUCUACUACUACUACUUCUUCUUUUCAAACUCUCUCCGACACAAUCUCUUACCGGUGGUCAGGAAUUUAAUAAAAUAUAACAUUUCAUUUAACUGGUUGCCUUGCUUCUUUGAAGCUGAUUCCAUUAUCUAAGGGAUGGUGCUUUCAAAUGACCUGCUAAUAAGGUGUUGCUUUUUGACGGCCUGUUGCAUUUAUUUAUCUGUAUAUUAAUGCUUAGGGAUUGUGUUCCGAUUGAAAUUCAAGACAGACCGCUAUAUACAUCCAAUGCUAGAUACGUUCAAAAACAGGAAUAUUUAAUCAAAUAUCCUGGUGCGUUUGAGCUGGUGGCUCUUUGGGAACUGCAAAACAGGAGUGAUGCAAGGCGCUUAAAAAAUUGGGGAUACGGGCCUAUAGAAACACAUUUGCAUAAUACUGUAUGCUAAUUUCUAUGUAUAGAUGCAAAUUCAAAUGUAAACGUUACAGAUGGGAAGCCAUCCAAAUCACCCCAGAUAAUAUUUUAAUUAAUUCACACCCUACCCCAGAUCACUGCAAAUCACUUCCUCUUCAUUUCAUUUACCCCUAAUUAAUUUCCUAACAAAUCCUGGUCCAAAUAAAUUCAAUUACCCUCAUUCAUUACCCCCAAAUCAUCUCUAGAUAAUGGCAGAUUCAAUUAAUCCAUUCCCCAAAAUUAAGAUCCUGCCCAGUAACCCAAAUCACAUAUACUUAGUUCAAUAUCUCCCAAUAUGCACGCAGAAGCACUUUAGGAAUUUGGGGGGGGGGCAACCUUUGUGUGCAUACCCCAUGGGCCCAUGCCUAGCAAAGUUCCUGCUGCAAAAUGUUCCUCCAAAGUCUGUAUCUCAUAGUCUGGGGGUGCCUUUGGACCCAUCUUUGUCACUAGAGACCUUGGAAGCCUCAAUAGUUAGAGGUGACCCCUGUCAUCCAUGCACUGGUAAACUCCGGGUUGGAUUACUGCAGUACACUCUAUGUGGGGCUGCCCUUGAGGUUGGUCCAAAAGCUGAAACUGCUGCAACUCGCUCAACUGCUCACUGGGUCAAGAUGCCCCACAGCUAGAAGAAUUGAACUUGGCUGCCAGUUAGCACCUGGGCUAAGUUCAAGGUGCUGGAUUUGGUGUGUACAGCUUGGGACCAUGGCACCUGAAUUAUUGUCUCUGCCCUAUACACCUUUCAGUCUCUGUGCUUUGCAGGCGAGGGACUCCUGCAGAGACCAUCUUAUCAGGAGGACCAUUCUGGGUAACACAGCAAUUGGGCCUUUAGGGGCCCAUGCCCUUUGGUAUUUCCUCCCCUUGAAUAUUAAACAGGCUCCAUUUCUGUUGUCUUUUUGGCACCUACUGAAGAUCUUCCCCUUUCAACAAGCCUUAUAAGUUGAGAUCUUUCCCUGUUUGUAUCUGUGUUGGACCUGUUUUAAGAUGGUCUUGGAUAUUUGAAUUGCCUUAUCGUUUGUGUGUUUGCCACCCAGGGCUCCUUUGGGAGGACCAGUAGGCUAUAAAUUUAAUAAAUAAUGAUAGAUAAUAAAAAGCAGGACAUAAAACUAAGUGUUUUCAAUACAUGGCAGAGAUGGCUAACUUGUGGUCCUUCAGAUCAACUGAAGGCAUAGGCAAACUCCAGCCCUCCAGAUGUUUGGGACUACAACUCCCAUCAUCCCUAGCUAACAGGACCAGUGGUCAGGGAUGAUGGGAAUUGUAGUCCCAAACAUCUGGAGGGCUGGAGUUUACCUGUGCCUGUUACAGCUUCCUCCAUCCCUGAUAGAGGGCCAAUUUUCACGUCAGCAAGUUUGCCGAUGGAGUUGUCAAAUGUUCCUAUGGACUGGCUACAGGAGCAACUACUUCAUUGUAAGCACUCACAAAAACAACCUGUUUUACAAAAUGUGGCUAGAUUUUUAAAUGUAUAUAUGUAUCAGUGUCUCUGAGGCAGAACUUGGUUGCUCCAGUAAGCAUAAUAAAUGGUGCCUCGUUUUUCAUGCAAAACAACAGCAUAAGGUGUACUUCAAACUUGGCUGUGAGGACUUACAUAACAACCUUUCAACUUUACUUGUCUAAUUUUCAUAACAGCCUUCUUAUGAGCUGUCGUGUCAAGGCUCAAAUAAUGGCAAUACGAUUCCGUGACAGCUUACCCAUUAUUAUAGCUUCAAAUAAUAUGUAAAUAAUAUUUAAAUUAUUUCUUUCCAGAACUAUUAGUGCCAGUCAAACAAACUCAGAUUUUGUCUUAACUUUAAGAGAUGAGACAAUAUAUUAUAUUGCAUAUAUAAAAACUACUUGCCGAUCAGAAGGUCAGCGGUUCAAAUCCCUGCGAUGGGGGGAGCUCCUGUUGUUCGGUCCCUGCUCCUGCCAACCUAGCAUUUCGAAAGCACAUCAAAGUGCAAGUAGAUAAAUAGGUACCGCUCCAGCGGGAAGGUAAACAGCAUUUCCGUGCACUGCUCUGGUUCGCCAGAAGCGGCUUAGUCAUGCUGGCCACAUGACCCGGAAGCUGCCUGUGGACAAACGCCAGCUCCCUCGGCCGGUAGAGCAAGAUGAGGGCCGCAACCCCAGAGUCGUCCACGACUGGACUUAAUGGUCAGGGGUCCCUUUACCUUUACAGUCCACAAACCAUUUAUUCUUGAAAAGUCACAUUACAGAAUAAUCAACAAAAUAGGAUACUGUAGAAUGCAACCCAGGUCCUGUGUGGUCUGCAGACCACUGGAGUCCACAGAACCCACCCAGGGGUUCUGUGGCACAUACCCAUCAACUGUCUGGGAUAUCCCAUUGGGAUGUUGGGUGACACCCCAAAAUGUGCAAGAUUGUGGCCGGACAUGCAUCUUCCGUGAGAUUGCGGCACCCUAAAACAUGUGUUUGGGGACACUGUUCUCUUACACGCGUCACAUGACUCACAUGGGAAUGCAUCUCGGAAUAUGCACAGCCUAGUGAUGCGCUGGGGCACGUUGGAGGGUAUGGUGGAACCAUUCACAUAACGAAAACUACCACAGAGAUAGGAACAUUUUUCAAAAUUAGGGGGCCUAUGACUUGGCUUUUUGAAAAACAAGGGGUCCUCAUUACUUAGCUAAUUGGAAACCACUGGCCGUGUGUGUGUGUGAGAGAGAGAGAGAGAGAGAGAGAUGUUAGCAAUUUCACUCCUCCGAUGCUGCAGAUGAGAUUGUUGUAAAUCACAUGCCUGUCUAGGACGAGUCUGGGAAAGGAAGACGGUCUUAUCUCUUCCGCUGCGGGUACUAUUAUACUGUACUUUCGCUUUUAUUUAUUUCUGUUUGUUCUCUCGGAGCUGGAGAGAACAGACGCCAUUAUGCUUUUGUCUGUACAUAGUGUGUAAAUAAACAGCAGAUUCAUUGCUGUCAACGUUUCCCUUCUUUUAAGGAAAAUCCCCUUAUUCCGAAUAGGAUUCCUCGCAAUAAAAGGGAAAAGUUGACAACUAUGAGUAAGAUUAGAUCUACGAUGUCUCGCUCCUCUUGCUGUGUUACGCCAGAAGAGUAAAUGUGCAUAUACCAGUUGGUAUGUGUCGCUGGAGCAUUUUUAACUGCUCAAUAAUUUUAAAAAUAUCUACUAUGAAGUAUACGAUAAAAGCUGAAAGAGCUUAAUAAGGGGAAACAGAAGCCAAACCCAUUGGGAACAGCACGACAAAAGAGUUCAACAUCUUUAGAAAAUUCCAGUGCGGCAGUGCCAUCUUAAGUGUGGGGUAGAUGAUGAUGAUGAUGAUGAUGAUGAUAAUAAUAAUUAUUAUUAUUUAUUAUUUAUACCCCGCCCUCUGGGCGGCUUCCAACAAAACACUAAAAUACAGUAACCUAUUAAACAUUAAAAGCUUCCCUAAACAGGGCUGCCUUCAGAUGUCUUCUAAAAGUUUGGUAGUUAUUUUUCUCUUUGACAUUGGGUCAGAGGGCGUUCCACAGGGCAGGUGCCACUACCGAAAAGCUCCUCUGCCUGGUUCCCUGUAACUUGGCUUCUCGCAGCGAGGGAACUGCCAGAAGGCCCUCGGCGCUGGACCUCAGAGUCCGGGCAAAACGAUGCAGGUGGAGACGCUCCUUCAGGUAUACUGAACCGAGGCCGUUUAGGGCUUUAAAGGCCAGCACCAACACUUUGAAUUGUGCUCGGAAACGUACUGGGAGCCAGUGUAGGUCUUUCAAGACCGGUGUUAUGUGGUCUCGGCGGCCACUCCCAGUCACCAGUCUAGUUGCUGCAUUCUGGGUUAGUUGUAGUUUCCGGGUCACCUUCAAAGGUAGCCCCACAUAGAGCGCAUUACAGUAGCCCAAGCGAGAGAUAAGUAGAGCAUGCGCCACUCUGGCGAGAGAGUCUGCAGUCUGAAAACAGUCCUGAAAAGAGGUACCUUGGAAUUCAGUAGAUGUGUGUUCGUCUUCUCUUAACCCUGUGAUUAUCAAGAGGUAACCACUCCUGCGUUUGAAAACACAGGGAUGUUUAAGGAAAUGAAGUCUGCUAUUGGGGGUGGAUCAGAACUGCGUUCUAUUUUUGUGCCUUGUUUCCUUCAUUUAAAAUAUGCAUCUUUGCCUAGUCCACAAAAGAAAAACUACAUAAGGAAGAGCCAAGGCUUACACUAACUUAAGCGUUUUUCCUCACUCUUCCUCCCAGGGCCUCCAAGGCGGUGUAUAUAACAUGUGCAUGCACACAGGCACAGACCUGUCCUCACAGCAAACCUGUGAGUUAGGCCAGACUGAUAGAUGGUGACUGGCCACGUUCACCCAGUGGAGCUUCAUGGUGGAACAGCUGUUUGAAGUGAACCCAAGUCUAUGUCUAAUAUUAUCCACUGCACCACACUGGCGUAUAUUUGACUGCUUGAACGUUUUUUGCUGUUUCUCAAAUGUCAGUGUUUUCAAGCAUCUUGUGGUUGGGAGAAAUAAUGCCUCUUGCAAAUACACACACACACACAUAUAUAUAUAUUUAUGCACACACAUACAUAUAUAUAUAAUGUAUGUAUUUAUGUGUAUAUAUAUAUAUACACACACACACACACACACACACACACAUAUAUAUAUGUGUAUAUAUGUGUGUGUGUAUAUAUACACAUACACACACACACACAUAUAUAUGUAUAUAUGUGUAUAUAUAUAUAUAUAUAUACACACACACACACACACACACACACACACACAAGCACUUUGCUGCAAUGGGACUAGGAAGAGCCCCAGAGGUACAGGAAAAAAAUGAGUGAGUUCUGUGUGUGCAUUUGUGUGUACACACACAUAAUGUGAGAUGUCACAAAAAAAAUCAGACCCCUGCCUCCCACCAACCCUGCCAAAUUGAGGGAAUGAACACUGAAAUAUAACCUUUUAAAAGAAAACUGUCACGGAAGCUGUGCAACCCAAAAUAAAAAUACGACUGCCAAAUCAAUCGGGCCCAAUUAGUAAGCCUGACUAUACCAGCCACCCUGUUUUUACUUAACAUAUCACUCCCUUUAACAAGAGACCCUCCAAAAUAUAUGAGAGUGAGUGUCUUUAAUGCCUGAUCUCUCAUCAAUCAAAGAAGACCAACAACCACCUGUGUGCAGUAACACGCUGGCAUUUCCAUCUUUUUGUCCAAUCGCAAUGCCGACUAUUAAUUAUAUAUUGCAACUGAUAAUUAUUAUUUGCUGAUAUUUAUUUUUACUGUUUACUAUUAUAUCGUUAUGGAUUAUUGAAUAUUGCUUUAUUUGAUAUGAGUUGCUUAUUUUAUUUUACAAUUAUUGUGACGUUUUGGUAUUGGAUCGGAUUGUUAUUACGUGUGAUCAAAACAGACAGCAAUUUUGUUGUUUCUUCAGCUUGUAAACCGCCUUGUUUGUAGCGAUAUAGAAAGGUGGUAUACAAAUUAAAAGUGAAAUGAAACGAAAUUUAAUCUCAGAGAUCGAAUCAUAGAACUGGGAGGUUUCCUGAGGGUCAUCAUUCUAACCCCCCUGCAACACAAGAGUAUCAACACUCGUUCCCCACUCCAAUCUGAAAGCUUUGCCAAUGUGCUAGCAGUUUUAUUGCUGCACCAUGAGAGAACAUGGAAGAACUUGGUUCUCUUUGAGAUGUUCUGCUACGCUCAUUACAAGUGAUGGCUCUAAAUUGCCUUUGUAAGCAUAUGUGUAGAUCGUGAUGAAUAAUAUACAGACAGGCUCUAUAUAGCCAUUUCCUGGUUUGCAUCCUGAGUUCCUUGCUGUGAAUUAUGGUCUAAAAACACACACACACAAACACACACAUGGCUAGCGAUAAUCUGGCUCAUGUGAAGACAUCUCAGUUGUGAGCGGAUGUGGCCAAUCAGGAAGGACCCAUUUGAAUCGUCAGAGUCACAAUUAACACUUACUAAUGGCCUUCUAAUUAGCCCUGACCAGUUCUGAGCAAAGGCACAACAUAUUUCUGCAACUCUCCUAGCCUUCUGCCUUGUGUGCCCUGUAGAUACUCAUCUCUCUCUUCAGCUGAGGAAAAUGCCAGCUAGGGGUGGCUAUUCUUUUACUGGGAAUGGAGGGAAAAUGUCUUUUUUCAUUUUGCUGCAACUAAUCACAUUUCCAGUUUGUUAAGAAGAGACUGGCCGCUUCAAAUUGUAUUGGUGCUGACAUGCAAAAGAAUUUUAAAGUCUAAAGCUGAGGGUGAUAUUUAAUAUUUGUGCUGGGGUGACUGAAUAUCGAUUUAAUGUGUUUUUGCACUUUUUCAGACCAGAUCCCGUGCACGUACGUUAAAGCACAUUUUCUCCCCCCAAGAAUGCUGGUAACUGUAGUCUAUAUUACUCACAGAACUCCAAUUCCCAGCACCCUUAACAAACUACAAUUCCCAGGAUUCUUUGGGGGAGGAUAAAACAUGCUUUAAUUGUAAACAGAGUACGCAGUCCCUUGCCUCUCCAAAUUGCUUUCCAGGUAACGCACAGAGAUUUUUCUGAGCUUUGGGGCUCAAAAGAAAGCAAUUUAAAACAGCUGUUGUUGAGACUUCAUUCUGAAUCUGCUGGACAGAGCCAGACACAGGAUGGUGACAAGUUGGUGUCACCCCAACAUAAAUCCUGGCUGCACCCAUUGGUUUGGAAGUUGGGUGUGACUUGUGAGGGGCAGCCUUGUAGGCCAAAUUGGGACCCACCACUGCCACGAGACUAGCUUUAAAACAGCCUCAGCACCCUCAUAUUCCCAAAUCCGUUUUUGUUUCUUUUCUCUUUUUUCCCCAAAAUUUUUUAUUGAUUUUCCAAAAUUUUUAAACAGACAGACAAGCAUACAUCUUAACUGUACUUAAUCCAAUCUUAGUAACAUUGUUAAGUGUUAAAUCCCCCCUAGCUGAAUUUCAGUGUAUGUCAUUGUAACAGUUUUCCAAAACCAAUCUUCUCAUAAAAUUAACUAAUCACUUUACAUCUUUCUUUCUUUUCAUUUUAACUUUAAACAUAAUAUUCUCUAACAUCACCUAUUUAAAUCCUAGGCCUAUCUGGUAUUUGCAAGUUUUUUCCAAUUAAGUUAUCUUAGCAUAUUUAACUAAGUAGUCUUUGAAUUUCAUCCAUUCCUCCUGGUACUCCUCUUCCUUCUGGUCACGGACUCUUCCAGUCAGGUCAGCUAGCUCUGAAAAGUCCAUCAUCUUCAUCUGCCAUUCCUCCACUGUUGGAACUUCUUGUGUUCUCCAAUUCUUAGCUAAGAAAAUUCUUGCUGCGGUUGUGGCAUACAAAAACAAUCUAACAUCUUUCUUGGGCAGUUCCAGACCUGUUAUUCCAAGAAGAAAAGCCUCUGCUUUCUUAAUAAAUAUAUAUUUCAACAUUUUUUUUCAAUUCAUUAUAAAUCUUCUCCCAGAAGUCUUUCACCUUGGGGCAGGUCCACCACAUGUGAUAAAAGGUACCCUUUUUUUCUUUACAUUUCCAGCAUAGAUCAUCACUAAUGUGAUAUAUAUUUGCUAAUUUUACUGGGGUUAAGUACCAUCUAUACAUCAUUUUCAUAUUUUCCUUUAACACCGUACAUGCAGUGAACUUAACCCCUUUCCUCCACAACCUUUCCCAGUCUUCAAAUCCGUUUUUUUUUUUCAAACUGCUUUACUUAAUUCUGCCUUGGCAGGUUUUCCCAGACCAGGUUCUACCUUGGCAGAAGGGUGUGACCUGCGUUCCAAGGACAGCGAAGACUGCACUGCCCAUCAAAGCCCAUUAAGCAAGCCCCAUUAACUGUCAGGCUAUACAUACAAAAGCCAAGAGCUGAGCAAUAAGAAUCCUGGCGCAGACUCUGGUCUCCCAUGUGCUCCACCAUUUGCUUUCAGGUGACCACUGCAUACAGGUAAAAAAAAAGGAGUCCUAAACCUUGGAUAAGGUCACACCAUGGGCACGUUUCGGAGGCAGCGCUGGGAAUCCAACCGGCUCCCCGCCCUGGUGCCAUGUUCAGGCCCACUAGGCAAUAUCACUUUCUUUGUUAUGUGCCUAUUGCAAUUAUGUGCAGCUGACCUUUCUGCAGUGGGGGAAACAAGCCUAUAAAUAUUGCACACAGACCAAUAAGACUAGAAUGAAGCAAUUAGGGAAAACAGCACAUCUCACAUAUGUUGUCGUGUGGCAGGGCCAGCGCUUAUUAGCAUAAUAACAGCAUGCUCAGCUAGCAGCAGAAUUAAAAGGAAGGGAGAAGUGUUAAGAUGGGCUGGCCAGCCAGACAACAGUUGGCUUUGGUAAUUAGCAAAACCACAGCCACUUUCGGAGCUCUCUUUUGGGUCCUCUGGGGAAUUCCAGGCUCUGGGCCAGUGUUUCUGGAAUGUAUACUAGCAGCAGGUGAAUGCUAAUAUGCAAAGGGCGAUUGCUAAUAAUGCAGAACCAAACGCCUCUCGUACAAGAAAGAGCUGCUCUAAGAGAGAUGUUCCCUGUCUGGGAAAUCACAUAGGAACAGGGCCAGGUGUGAGCGUGCCAGUUCUUAUCUCUUGGAGCCACCACAAAUCUUUCGGGUUCCAAAGCUCUUUAGAAAAAAACAACCCUUACCUUGUUAUUUGAUAUGGGGUAUAUUCCAGUUAGUUUCAUUCCAACCACAAUUUCAUCCCCCUUCCCCUAAUGGACUUUCCCAAGGAAAGCUUGUUGGCUGCUAAGAUAGGCUUGAACAAAACUAGCCGUUAACUUCAGCCAGCAACUGUGCCUGUCUCUAACGGAUUGAAAAAGGAUAUUUUGAAAUUGAGAUAAGCAACAACAGCGAAAGGAUAAGGGGAGCGGGGGAGCUUAAACGGAGAUCAGUCAUUUAGAGAUCGGCUACAAGUUAAUUAAGAAAAUAAACCAAAAAGGGGGGGGUAGGUCCAGGUUAACUCUUAACCAAUAAGCAACAUGGAUCUUUUUUGUUCUCAGCAUAGGUAAAGGGAGCCGGCUUACAGCUUCCAGGUCAUGUGGUCAGCAUGACUAAGCCACUUCUGGCGAUCCAGAGCAGCGCACAGAAAUGCCGUUUACCUUCCCGCCGGAGUGGUACCUAUUUAUCUACUUGCACUGGUGUGCUUUCAAACUGCUAGGUUGGCAGGAGCUGGGACUGAGCAACGGGAGCUCAUCCCAUUGCGGGGAUUCGAACCGCCGACCUUCCGAUAGGCAAGCCCUAGGCUCUGCAGUUUAACCCACAGCGCCACCCAUUGCCAAUGAAUCUAGAUGUGUUUUCAAUAUUUGCUGUAAUGAAAAACAAAUAAACAAAUGUAUGCUGAGAACAGGGGCAUAGGUUCCAGGGCAGCUUACAACAAUUAAAGCGCAACAUUCGUGCCAAAUAUUGCGCAACAUUAAUAACAGUUUAAAACAACAGAAAAAAACACAGAAAAAUGUAUGUAUGUAUUUAAUGUACCAUCUGGUUUCCUCUGCCAAUCUCAGUUGGGUGCUUUUCCACUGUUCACAGCCUGGGGUGUGGGUGUGUUUUACCAGAAUUCCGACAAAUUUUGAUGGUGCUGAUUCUCAUGAGAGCCAGUGUGGUGUAGUGGUUAAGAGCGGUAGUCUUGUAAUCUGGUGAACCGGGUUCGCGUCUCCGCUCCUCCACAUGCAGCUGCUGGGUGACCUUGGGCCAGUCACACUUCUCUGAAGUCUCUCAGCCCCACUCACCUCACAGAGUGUUUGUUGUGGGGGAGGAAGGGAAAGGAGAAUGUUAGCUGCUUUGAGACUCCUGAAGGGAGGUGAAAGGCGGGAUAUCAAGUCCAAAACUCUUCUUCUUCUUCUUCAUGGAAAUGUAGGAAAAUGCCAUAUGUCAAGCCAGACCACUGGUCCACCUAGCUCACAAAGACCAACACUGACUGGCAGCAUUUCAGACAGGGAUUUCAGACAGGGAUCUCACCCAGUCCUGUCUGGAGCUGCUGUGGCCCAGGGAAUCUUCUGCAACCAAAGCAGGGCCUGUGCCACGGAGCUACAGCUGGAGCUCAUCCACACUGGUUGUCUGCCCCACACUUUCUAGGCACAGAGACUGUGCAUUCCCAGUCCAUUUCUGAGCGCUUUCUCUCUUCUUUUUUUGCCCUGCCUAUUUCCCCAGAAAAAAACUGCUCUUUAACACUGAAUCAGAACAAAUGGCAAUUUGGGUUUUCUGCACAUUGCUGAGAGCAUUAAAGAGUGGAUUUCCACGGGGAAAGCAGCAAGGGGAAAACAUUCAGACACGGACCGGGAAGGUGCAGAGCUGUGCUUUAAAAGCGCAGAAGCAUGCAUAGGAUUGUAGCGAUUAUUUCUAAUUACACUAAGGACGGUGGAAGCGGAAAGCAAGGAUCAAGGGACUGUAAGGCAAAUAGGGAGCACAAAUUAUGCAUACAGUGGUACCUCAGGUUAAGUACUUAAUUCAUUCCGGAGGUCCAUACUUAACCUGAAACUGUUCUUAACCUGAAGCACCACUUUAGCUAAUGGGGCCUCCUGCUGCUGCCGCGCCACCAGAGCACAAUUUCUGUUCUUAUCCUGAAGCAAAGUUCUUAACCUGAAGCACUAUUUCUGGGUUAGCGGAGUGUGUAACCUGAAGCGUAUGUAACCUUAAGCAUAAUGUAACCCGAGGUACCACUGUAAUGCCUUUUGAUCACUCAAAGUCUCUGCCCAACUUCUUCCCCAAAAUCAUUUCCCCAGCUUCCAUAGGCACAGCUUUUUUGGUUCAACAAUGAGGACUAGAACUUUUUUUAUUUUAAUGGAGAAACCAUUUCCAGAAGAGUAAUCAGAAAAUUUCCUCAGCAGAUAAUUCAAACCCGGUCUGGAACGUGAGAUGAUGGCCGCGUCAUCCGCAUAUAACAAGGGGGUCCUUCUCAUUCCUAUUUUUGGAAGGUGUCCAUCUGGGUCCAUAAAGCUCUCUUCUAGGUCAUUUAAGAAUAGACAAAACAAUGUGGGGGCCAAAAUACAACCCUGUCUCACCCCCCUAAUCAUCUCGAUACUGUUCGAUAACUGUCCCUGCCGACCGCAUUGGACCUGCAGUUUGGUUCUGCUGGGAAGUUUUUGCCUCUGCACAUGAGUCUGAGAAUGUACAGUUCACAUUGAGUUCAUGAAACAUCACACCCUGACCUGUUCUUAAUGCAUUGUUGACCACAUCUACGGACUGCGAUUGUUAUGUUCUUUCAAGUCAUGCAAUAUCAAUCACUAGUAACCAUGUCUUCCCUUUCCCAACCCUUAUGAUUAAUGCCCUUGCAUUGUAUUUGUGUUAACCAAUCAGCAACAAGCACAUAUGUGGUAAUGCUGUAAUAUUCAAUAAAAGGGACUCUCCGAGACAUGCUCGAGAGAUGCCUCCCAUAUGACACCUUGCCAUUCGUCUGUCGCUUAUUUCAACCCAACAUGGUUCCAUUGUACAGGGCUUUUAUAAGAAAGAGGAGUCAUUUGUCCUGCAAAAUCAGAUUUAAUGUGGACCAUAGCUGGGAUCUGGGGAUGGAGUCAAAUGCUGAUUUCAGAUCCAUGAAGGCCACGAAAAGUUUACCCUGUAGAGGCCUGGUAUACUUCUUGGCUAGGAAGGACAGCAAUGAGGACUAGAACAUUUUUUAUUUUAAUGGAAGCUGAUAAUCUCUUUAUAAGCCGGAAAGCAUAUUCAGAAGAAACAAGAAAAGUCCUUGUAGCCAAGCUUCUGGAAACAAGAAGCCUUCCUGUUUCUUCAGAGGUGUUUUCUCAUCCUUUCUCCCCACCCGCCCUGCCAUUUCUGUCCCUUUGCCAGUUCUUGGAUCCGCUGUCUAGACAGUCUUAUCUAGGAUUGGAGACUUCCCCUCUUCCCAUACUGCUGCGUGUUGUAAAGAGUUUUGCAGCCACUGUUAGCAUUCAGGGCCAGACCUGCCAAACAUUCCCUCGCCUCUGCCUGCUAAACUUAAAGGAGACUGAACUACAAACAGCCUUUUGCAGAGCAAGCAGACUGAGGACUUCAAGGCUGAGCUGGGAUCGCCGUGCCUUGGGCCCGUGUCAUCCGUUUAUGUUCAGCGCCGCUUGUCACUGGGCAUAAUAAUUCCGCUGCAUCCGUUGCUUACAAGACUCUAGCUUAGAAGACGGGAAAGAAAGGAGGAAGCAUGCUCCUCUCCCACACAGGCCUGGAAAAGUAAACAGACGCAUGAACAGACCGACCGGCAGGCAUGUCUGAAGGACAGUCCGCAAGAAUGAUAACCGCCUCUCUGCACAUCCAUAUUUCAGCAAGGGAGACAGAGGAGCUGGCGAGCGCAAGAAGUCUCCUCACGUGGUCAUCAUUUGAUAAGGCCCCAUACGGCCAGCCGGGAGGAUAAUUCAGAGGGAUUAACUGCUCUGCUUUCUCUGACCCUUUGGCAAAGCAGCGCAGGAGCCACCGGAGGCGGGAAUUUGCUUGUGUGAACAGCUCCUGCAAUUAAUCAGGCACCCAGGGAUCAGAUUGAAGAGGAGGCCACUUGCAUUCCAGUCCUUGCAUGUCGGCCUCCUUGUCACCAUCCCGCCUGACGAAUGUUCAUCCGGAGGAUCAUCACUGGCCAUCGCAGGAAGCAAUGACAUCAAGUCGUUUGUUCCUAGCAAUGGCAGCCAGCCAUUCUCCCCUCACAGUCCUGUUCUGCCAGCCCCUCGGAUGGUGCAAUGUUCUGUGAUCCAGAAAACGUUUCUGAGGCUCAGACUAGUGGCAGUAAGGCGUGUGCACCCCUGCAUCUGCCACCUGAGGUGGCUGCUACCUUCCGUCUAAUGGUAGGGAUGGUCCUACUGAUCAGAGGGCAGUUUUAGUGACUGUGCUCCCACACCCUCCAACAUUUCUCCGAUGAAAAUAGGGACGUCCUUUUCAAUGCUAUAAGAUGUAAAGGUAAAGGGACCCCUGACCAUUAGGUCCAGUCGUGACCGACUCUGGGUUUGCGACACUCAUCUCGCUUUAUUGGCCGAGGGAGCCAGCGUACAGCUUCUGGGUCAUGUGGCCAGCAGGACUAAGCCGCUUGCGGUGAACCAGAGCAGCACACAGAAACGCCGUUUACCUUCCCGCCGGAGCGGUACCUAUUUAUCUACUUGCACUUCGAUGUGCUUUCAAACUGCUAGGUUGGCAGGAGCUGGGACCCAGGAACGGGCGCUCACCCUGUCGCGGGGAUUCGAACUGACAACCUUCCAAUUGGCAAGUCCUUGGCUCUGUGGUUUAACCCACAGCGCCACCCGUGUCCCUUUCCAAUGCUAUACUGUGGUACCUCAGGUUACAUACGCUUCAGGUUACAUACGCUUCAGGUUACAGACUCCGCUAACCCAGAAAUAGUACCUCAGAUUAAGAACUUUGCUUCAGGAUGAGAACAGAAAUCGUGCUCCGGCGGUGCAGCAGCAGCAGGAGGCCCCAUUAGCUAAAGUAGUGCUUCAGGUUAAGAACAGUUUCAGGUUAAGUAUGGACCUCCGGAACGAAUUAAGUACUUAACCCGAGGUACCACUGUACUACUAAUAAUAAUAUUUAUACCCCACCCAUCUGACUGGGUUGCCACUCUGGGCAGAAACAUAAAUUAAUCAUCUUGGACCUGUAUCCGCCUAACCAAGGAGGACAACCGAGCUUACGCACAAAGUAGGACAUCCUCUCUGCUUCCUCUGAAAUUGUGUGGCACAAAUCAGGCCCUGCUUUGGAUUCCAUCAAUGUUGGAAGUUAAAAUUGUAUCGGACAGAAACAGGGCCUUUACAGUGUAGGCCUCAAACCUGUAGAAUGGUCUUCCCCUUGAGGUCCAAAGUUGCACUUCCUUAUUUGACUUUAGAAAUACUGCAAGAGUUGUUGUUGUUGUUUAUUAAAUUUGUAUACUUCAUCUAAAGUUCACAGGACAGUUCGCAACAUAAAAAUACAAAAUGGAAACACAAAAUGCAUAAUAAAACAAAAGCAAAGCAAACCAAUUACGCUCCCUACCACCCACAAACCAUUUGAAAGUCCAUAGACUGUUAAUCGCCAAAGGCCUGGUUACAGAGGAAAGGUUUUGCCUGGAGCCUAAAGAUAUGUAAUGAAGGUGCCAAGUGAGCCUCUGUGAGGAGCCACCACAGAAAAGGCCCGUUCCCAUGCGUCUUGAAUUCAAGUACAGUGAGUUCUGGUGGUGGUGGUUGUUUAUAGACUACCCUUUAUCAAAAAAUCGCAGGGCAGUGUACAAUAUUACAAUCACAUUUUGAUGAUGAUAAAUUAAUGAUGUUAAUUUAAUAAUAAAUUCUUACGUACAGCCUAACACCCUCCUCAUUUUCCUUUAGGUUAGGGAAAAUGCUAUCAGAGCCUGAGGAAGCAAGGUUCCUCAUUGCAUGGAAGGAGUCUUCUACACGUAUGGGUUGUCUGGCAGGGGCUCUUUCAGAACUUACAAUGAAUAUGUGGCAUGUGGAUGCAUGCAAUAACAUUUCUCCUCCUCUACAUGUUUGUAUAAAGUCUGUAAAGGACUAUUGGGUACCCCUGUGGGAUAAAAGUGCAGAACACACCAAUCAAUCAGUCACAUUAUUUUGAUUUAAGCAAAGAAUGCUGUAGUGUAGCUUGGUAUACGGUAUUCUGGGUUUUUGUGUGGAAAGCCCAGUGGCAGCCUGUGCACUUUCAGAGAUUGGCUUAAUAUUGUCUAUGGGCAAAAGGGGGUUGUGUGUGUGUGUGUGUGUGUGUGUGUGUGCUUUUGCAUAUCAGAUUUCCUAAAAAGAGGAGUGGGGUUGGCAUUUAGAUGCCAAUGAUUUCUGGACAUAACAUGUCUGCAGAAGGAAUACCAAUCCCAACUGUCUGGAAUCGCUCCUGGGGGCAGAGGGGUGUUUUUUUGUUUUGUUUUGGAUGAGACACUGAUGAGUUGUGCUAUAUUUCAACUUCUCGCAAAAUGAUUUAUCACAUCUUAUCAAACUGUUGCACUGUUGCAAUGAAGGUAUAUUCCCAUUAUGAGUUGUCAGUAGCACUGUUGCUGCUUUCAAAGGGAAUUCAAUCACUAUUGUCAGGUUGCACAAUUGGAGUUGAUUUGUGCUCUUGCACAACAAACCCCAACCAAACAAAAAACAAAAAAAAACCCUGGAAUUUCUCUGAGUAAGGAAAGUGAAGGGACAAUGCUUCAGAUAGUGUGGGAUAACAUUUGCUUGGUGCAACCUCUCCAUGAACAAAUCAGAAUAAAUGUUCAAGAUAAACAAAGUUAUUGAAUCUUCCCACAAACCUUGUGCAAAUGAAUCAGGAUAGAUCUUCGAUAAGGAAGGCUUCUGAAAGUGACCCGUAUUAUUUAUUUCAUCUGCUUGGGUUUGUUCCAUUUAAUUAUCAGAAGCACCCUGUGAAGUUUUUUCCAAUUAAGUUAUCUUAACAUAUUUAGCUAAAUAGUCUUUAAAUUUUAUCCAUUCUUCCUGGUGCUCCUCCUCCUUCUGGUGGCGGACUUUUCCAUUCAGGUCGGCUAGCUCUGAAAAGUCCAUCAUCUUCAUCUGCCAGUCUUCCACUGUUGGUACUUCUUGUGUUUUCCAAUCCUUUGCUAACAAAUUUCUAGCUGCAGUUGUGGAAAAGCUUGCAAAUACGAGAUAGGCUUAGGACUUAAAUAUGUAGGGAUAGGAAUUAAGAUGUUUAAAGCCAGAUUAGAAGGAAUGAAAGAUGUUAAGUUAUCAGGAUAAUUUUUCUUUGAGAAGAUAGAUUUUGGAAAACUGUUAAAAUGAUAUAUAAUGAAAUUCAACCAGGGGGAUUUGAGGAAGUCACUUAACAAUGUUGCCAAGAUUGGUUUAAUUUCAAAUAGGAUGUAUGUUUGUUUGUUAGACAAAAUUUUGGAAAAUUAAUUGAAAAAAUUGGAAAAAAGAAAGAAGCACCCUAUGAACUAUCUGAAUCAAGGUCACCCCGUGAGUUUCAUGGUUGAAGGGGUGGGGGAUUUCAACCAAAUCUCUCUCUGGGCAAAGUGUUACAUGUUAAGCAGUACCCGACCCUCAACCUCAAGUCUGGAAAUAUGUCUAGAGCCUUAACUACAGCUAUGUUUUGGCAUAAAUCUGAUCUGUACUCUAAAUAAGUUGAAAUAAAUGUUUAUUCUAAAUAGGAUAAUCAACCGUAACUUUAUAAAAGCUAAAGUACCCGACAUUAUACCAAGCAGAGCAAAGAUAACAGAAUGAGGCAAGGGCAGAAAUGUAAUUGAUGGUUUAACUUAAUUCAAUUACUGCAAAAUAUAGCCUUUAUUGUUUUUUGAAAAUCACAUUUUCCAGUAAUUCUGAUUCAGUUAAAUUUUUAUAGUAUUAUAAAUAAUUCUAAUUACGCUCAUAUAGGUUUAGCUUUCUUCUAUAUGGACAUUUAGGGAAAAAAUUAAAUUAAAUUAUCUACAUGUGCUUGAAAUGUAAUAUACAAGAUUAUCUGAAGAGCCAGAAGCAGCAAGCAAAUAUGAACAAAUUUUCUUAUGUCAUGUCUGAAAAAGCCUAGCGUGGGUUCAGGAACAGAGUUCACAUUUUCUGAAGAACCACUCUCUUUGCAGAUUAAAUGUUUAAUUAUACAGCCAAGUCUACAAAUAGAUUGUUAAUGUUGGAUGGGAGGAAUGGAAGGUCUAGAUACAGACGCACCAGCAGAUUAACAGAAGACCCUGCAAGAAAUUUAUCAAUGUCAAAGGUAAUUAAUUACAACUCUCCAUCGACCGAUAUAGUUCUGUUUAUCAGACAGGAUUCCUGGAAUGGUAAAUGCUUGCAGAGUAUUCAGUAAGGUUUUCUGUUCUUCCACUUGUUUGUCAUUUGUCUACUUCAAUAUUUGUCCUUGUGCACAUUGGGUUAGCUUGCUAAUAUAUUAAAGCCAAGCCAUAUUUGGACAGCCUGUAAACUCUGCCUGAGAUAAAGCAGAGUCUCUGAUAUCCAUGAGGAUUCAGGGAAAUAAUGCAAUAAAGCAGGAGCAGGGACCUGUGUGGUCCUCUGGGUGUUGCUGGACAAGAGCUCUCAUCAUCCCUGUCCAUGGUCCAUGAUGGGGUGAUGCUGAUGGGAGCUGGAACCCAACAUACCUGCCCUGGGAUCCUAAAGGGCAGAAGAGCGGGGUAAUAAAUUGUAUAAAUUAAGAAAGAAAGAGACAUCUGUAGGACCAAAAGUUCCCCACCCACCCCACUAUAAAUUGGUAGGAAAUGUCACAGGUCACUUCUGCCUCAGUGAGGGCACACCUGGAAUACUGUGUCCAGUUCUGGGCACCACUAUUUAAGAAGGAUAUUGACACUUGAAACGUGUGCAGAGGAGGGCAACCAAGGGUCUGGAAACCAAGCCUUGUGAGGAACGCUUGAUAGAGCUGGGACUGUUUAGCCUGGAUAAGAGGAGACUGAGAGGAGAUAGGAUAGCCAUUUUCAAAUAUCUGAAGGGCUGUCCCAUGGAAGAUGGAGCAAAAGAGUUUGGAUUUGGAUUUGAUAUCCCGCUUUAUCACUAGCCGAAGGAGUCUCAAAGCGGCUAACAAUCUCCUUUCCCUUCCUCCCCCACAACAAACACUCUGUGAGGUGAGUGGGGCUGAGAGACUUCAGAGAAGUGUGACUGGCCCAAGGUCACCCAGCAGCUGCAUGUGGAGGAGCGGAGACGCGAACCCGGUUCACCAGAUUACAAGUCUGUCGCUCUUAACCACUACACCACACUGGCUCUCAAACUUGUUUUCUCCUGCUCUGGAGGGUAGGAACGAACCAGUGGCUUCAAGUUACAAGGAAGGAGAUUCUGGUUAAACAUCAGGAAGAACUUUUUGGCAGUAAGAGCUGUUCAACAGUGAAACAGACUCCCAUGAGAGGAUGGCCAUCUGUCAAGGCUUCCUGCAUUGCAAGGCUUGGUCUAAAUAAUAAUAAUAAUAAUAAUAAUAAUAAUUUAUUAUUUGUACCCCGCCCAUCUGGCUGGGUUUCCACAAAACUGGGUGGCUUCCACAAAGACCAAAAAUACACUAAGCUGUCACACAUUAAAAACUUCCCCGAACAGGGCUGCCUUAAGAUGUCUUCUGAAUGUCAGGUAGUUGUUUAUCUCUUUGACAUCUGGUGGAAGGGCAUUCCACAGGGCGGGCGCCACCACCGAAAGGGCCCUCUGCCUGGUUCCCUGUAGCUUUGCUUCUCACAAUGAAGGAACCGCCAGAAGGCCCUCGACGCUGGACCUCAGUGUCCGGGCAGAACGAUGGGGAUGGAGAUGCUCCUUCAGAUGACCCUAAGGGGCCCUUCCAACGCUACAAUUCUCUGAUUCUGUGGUUCUGUGUCUCUUUCCAUAAGCAGUUAUAUUUUAUGCUUUAUGUUAAGUGAUCUUUCCUCCUCUCACCCUUUCUGGAAACAAGAGCAGAAAGAAUUUGAUUCUCCCAUUUCUAAGCCUUCGGUGCAUGGUUACGUCUGCUUCGGUGCAUGGUUACGUCUGCUUUCAUCGCCCUAGGUCAGGGGUCUGCAACCCACGGCUCCGGAGCCGCAUGUGGCUCUUUUACACCUUUGCCACGGCUCCGGGGCAGAUACUAGUGAGGGGAGGAGGCGCAUUGUGCGCCCCGACACUCCCCACUGUGGCGGGCGCUGUACUGGCUGUGACGUCGCAUGGGAGCGGUGCGUGCGUUAGUCACGCACCGUCCCGAUGUCACCUUCCCGCCCGCCCGCUACAUUGUAAGGGGCAUGUACGCUGGUCACUGUUUUGAAGGGGAGUGAAGAACACACACACACACAAAGGUAACUUGUUAAUUUAACGUUUAUUUCUAUGAGGAGGAGUAAUUCUGAGGGGUCAAACAAAGAAAUAAUUUUAAAAAGUGACAAAAAAGUUAUUUUUAUAACGACGAGUUUUGCGGCUCCCAGUUUUUUUUCUUCGGAAACGGGUCCAAGUGGCUCUUUUUGUCUUAAAGGUUGCAGACCCCUGCCGUAGGUACUGCAAAGCAGAGUUCAAAUUAAAUAUCUCCCCUAUUCAUUGGGUGUGUGCUACAAAUCGCUAUAGCGUGUUCUCCCUAAAAUGAGAGCACAGGUUGCGGUGGGGUCUGCCAGGCCAACCCUCUGUUACCAGGCAGGUUAAUGGUUAUUGCCUGAAGCAACGAUUGGCUGACCGGGUUGCUGGGGCAAAUUGCUUGUUGCAAAUUGUGGGUGGGACCAAAGGUUUUAAAUAUUGGGGGACUCCGCUUUUGCUUUCUCUUUCGCUGAGUGCAUCGGAUCACCCGCCCGCCCUGUGUUCUGGUUGACCUUGCUGUGCCUGCCAUGGGGUCAUCUGCCAUUGGGGCAGGGCUUAGUAGGAAUUUUAUCCAUUUGGCUGAUUGGCUGGUGCCACUUGGUUUUUGCCUACUACUUAGCAAUUUGUCACAACUUGUAAGGUUGUGGUUAGGCAUUGGUUAUAAAAAUUGGUGGAGGAGGGGUCAGGAUAGGCUGUGCGUGCCCCUCCAAUGGUGCUGGAAGGGAAUUCCAUUAAAGGAAUCCUGGGGCUUGCCACGAUUUCGUCCAAUCCCUGAAAUGGGACCAGGGCCGGCAAGCCUUGGGGAGCUGGUUGGAUGAGCGGUAAGGGACUGACGCUCAGCUCAACUGAUCCCCAACAUUGUUUUCCCUUCACUGGCUUCCUAGGGAGUUUGGAUAGUCAGUUCUGUCCCAGGCGGGAGGACAGAUAGUCUAAGCAACCUAAUGCCUAAGCAACCACUCACAGAUUAUGUAUUUUAAUAAAGUUGUGGCCAAAAUAGUGCCAAAAACCUUAAACUAAAAUUACGUGUGAUUUGUGAAUUAUUUGAGGGGUGGCUUGGGGACCUCCACACGCAACUAGUGCAACGGCAGAAGCUGCACACAAAGAGGUCCCACCAGUCUGCUGGAGGCAUUGCUGAAAAUGACAGAAUUUUGGCUGGGAAAGGUACAGGCAGCCUGAUCAAUUGCCCUGGCAGUUCUCAACAUUUAUUUUUACUCUGCCCUCUGUGCAGAGUACAGCGGUGGCCCAAUUCCUUGAAUGAAACUUGAGUCUACAGCAUUCUGAGCCAAGGUAUGGGUGUUAUGGCUGAGCCAUUAGGAUACCUAAGAUACACUUCCAAGCAGCCUCAAACUGCACCUCUAUGACCUCUCUCCUCCCUGGACAUUGGCGGUGGUAGUUCAGUGGCUGAGCCUUAGCUAUGCCAACUAUCUACACUGCAUCAUAAUCUGGGACUAUUUUUAAAGGCCCUCUCCUGGAAAUGCAGAAUCAGAACGCAUAAGCAGCAGUUCCUAUUUCAGUUCAGCACAAAUCCAAUGCAGCCUGAAGGAGCUCCAGUUUUCUGCAUUGAAAUAAACAUCUGGUUCUGUUCUAACAGCAGUCCUUCUACUUUGAGCAAGGUCAAGGAGACAUAGUGGGAGCAAGGUGGGAGCAGUAACUUAUCCCCAUCCCAAAUUAGGCUAGUCUAAACAGGAUUAUAGAAUGCAGCUGAUAUUUGCAGGAAUGAGCAAUAUCACCAUCAGGACAAGUAAGAGGUAUAAUCUUGACAAGCUCUGCAAAAUGCAAAGAUAAAAAAAAAAAUUAAGGGGAAAAACAGAUGUAGACGGAUGGGAAUCUAGCGCAACUGCACCCCUUGAGUUUUCAGUAGUCCAGCCCAAGGCCAUAAGUUAAGUCUGAUACCUAUUGUAAAAUUCGAAUAACAAUUUCCCGCAUAUGACGAUAGGUAGAAGGCUGUAAAAGUUACUAAAUUUGGCUUGCUCCUACAAGAUCCCAUGCAGGUUUUUUCAAAAGUACCACUGAGCUCAAUAUCACUCACUCCCAUAGGAUUGCAACCAGUUCAUAGGAUUGCUAUGUGAAGCAUAUUCACUAAUGUUCAAACUGUGGGUAGGGGAAGUGGAGUGCGUCCAAGUUCCACUCACGCCGUGUUCCCUGCGCACAUCAGCCCCACCCACUCAGUCUCCAAACUUCUACAGAUGAGUUGCUUCAAAGAAUGGCAGAAGGACAUUUCAAGAUUUAUCUGGCGAGGAAAGAAGCCAAGGAUAAAAUAUAAAUUAUUAACAGAUCUUAAAGAAAGAGGGAGCUUCUCCCUACCAGAUUUAAAAUUAUGGGGGGCUGGAUUAUAUUUUGGGGGGGAAUGAACAAUUUCCUAUGCUCCACAAAUAACCCAGAGAUGCAUUUUAAAUAAAAGGACGCAUUCUACUCAUGUAAAAACACUCUGAUUCCCGGACCGUCCGCGGGACGGAUUUAGAAGGUGAUUGGGCUGGAUCCAGCCCCCGGACCUUAGUUUGCCUACCCCUGAGCUAGAGCAGGCUCCCUCAACCUCGGCCCUCCAGAUGUUUUGAGACUACAACUCCCAUCAUCCCUGACCACUGGUCCUGCUAGCUAGGGAUCAUGGGAGUUGUGGGCCAGAAACAUCUGGAGGGCCCAGGUUGAGGAAGCCUGAGCUAGAGCAUACAGAGCCAAAAUAUGGCAUCUCUGUGGUGAGUGAUUCCCCCUCCCAGGAGUAAAGUUUGCAUCACCUCAAGCAUCCAUUAUCCUAUGGUGAAUCUCCAGUGCCCCCGUUCUGCAUUCCUGGCAACUAGAAGGAGAGCAGUAUGGAGACUCACAUUAUAAUGAGGACCAGUCACAUGCUGAGUACUUUAAAACGUUUCCUACAGAGAAGGGGUAACUCACCAUGAGGACCACAUUUUCGGCAGCAUCCGCAACAUGUGCUCCAACUCCAGCUGAACACUAUACGUCCCUCAGCUUCAUUUGUUAGCUCGUAUAUUAUUGCCGAGUCCAGUCAAUUUCAGGCAAGUACUGGAUUACUUAUAACUUUAAAAAAAAAGCUAUUCUCCAGACUCUUUUUGUCAGACUUCCAUGUGAGGCAAGCAUUUGAUAGAAAUAUGGAAAGUGGCCUGAACUUUAAAUGACAAACAGAUGAGAAGUUCUGAUGGAAAUCAAACACUUCUGAAGCCCACGUUAUUUUCACAUAGAAUAUAAAUAGCUCUUUUAAUUGAAGAUGACGAGCUCAUGGUCACAUAUUUGGUUAUCUCUAUUCGCAAAGUUGCAAAGAAAAAAUAAAUACAAGAACUGAAUCAUGACAAGAACUAAAAAUACAUAUUAAAAUCUGGUUGUCGGAUCCCUUAGGUUAUGAACUUCUGGAAACAAGUGAAACAAACUCACAUUUUGUUAUGAACUACAAUUCAGAAAAUUUGUAAGUGAGCAAAUAUACUGAGGAUUCCUGACAGAUAGCAUUCUUUCUACUCCCAUUUUAUUUUUGGCCCAUUUGAUUUGAUUAGAAACUUGCUCACAUUUCUGCUUUAAAAUGUACAGAUACAAGUGAUAAUGCUGUAAGCUGGAAACAUAAAGGCCACACAUUUUUUACUGAUUUGUAAGAGAGCAAAUUCUUUAGAAUUGGUUUUCAAGACGGUAUGAACUUGGCAAAAGACAUUUUGGCAUAUAAUUUCAAGAGAAAAUGCUUAACUCCAACUCCCUUAAUAGCAUGUGCACAAAUGCCAAAGUAACAAGGAAAUUUUAUGUGGAUGUGGUUGUACACACACACACACACACACACACACACACACACCAGGAAAAGCUUUUAUUCUGAACUUAUUACGUCUCCUGUACUGAAAUAUACACGUGCUGCAUUCAGCUCAGAGAACCAGUUAGAUUAAAUAAGGAAGGAAAAGCAAGAAAUAUCUCCUCUGUGGCUUUUGCCACUUGCUUGAAGAUGAUACUCUACUGCAGACGAGAAGAGUAUUUGCACCUAUUAAUAUUCUAGAAUAAUACUACUACUAUUCUACAGUAUGAACUGAGGCUUUAAUUCAGGGGCAGCCAAUGUGGUACCAUCCAUCAGCCUCAUUCAUUAUUGCCAAAGGUCAGGGAUCACGAGAGCUGUGGUCCAAUAAUGUUGUUGGCUACCCUUACUUUAGUGUGAGAGACUACUGUAAGAGAUUACCUGGACCCCAAGAAAUCCAGAAAUAGCUCAAGAAUACGUUAGCAGAAAACUAACCCCCGCACCCCAACCAUAGCCUAAAACGAGAACACCUGAGGAAAUAACCAUUUUAGGGAACAUUUCCAAUGAAGAAUCGAUGUGUGCAGGAGCAGCAAAGCACAUUUCCCUCUGCUGUCCACCAGUUCUUCCCAGGAAGCGUCAAAUACUAGGUACGUGCAGCUGUUCUGUGCUGCUACUGAAUAAGGAGUUUAAUUGGAGUGGUUUGACCUCUCCAUGAGCCAUCAAGGCCUCCACAAAGCCAUUCAUCAAAAUGGAAGCAAGAUUUGGGGGACGUCUGACUUGGGUGUUUCCUUGUGUAGGUAGCAUUCCUCGGGCGACAUCACGUGUGUCUUUCCUCUUGGAGCAAGGUAAGAAUGUUCACAAGAUUGGGGGGGCAGGUGAGCGGCAAAAUGAGUUGGUUGUUAUUGUUGUUGUUUGAAUUUUACAGUACGGUGCGGAACCUGUGGCCAGACUGCAACUCCCACAAUCCCUGACCACUGACAAGGUUGGCUGCAGCUGAUGAAGCCCAACAUCUGGAGAGAUCUGGCAGUCUUGGUCCUGGCUGAGCUAAAGUCCUGGCUACAUGCAGCCAAUUCACAGUAUACACAUGUAUGUAAUAAACUACAGGAUGCCUUCAGAGUAUGGGAUUUUCCAGUAACCACAAGCACACACAUCAGUAUAUCAGGAAACCAUAGCAGUCAUUUCCUGUGAACUCAAAAGAAGUGAAAUUGGGCUACUUCCCCCUUUAAAACACUUUGCAGAAAAUCUGCCGAAAAGUUAUACCGUUUCCCCCUUCCUCAAAGAAUGCGCAUUAUAUUUUCCCAUGUUCAACAACAGUGGUGAAUAAUCAUACGGCAACAAUAGAAUUGCUCCUCUAAACCGCAGCCCCACCGGGGAAUAUAAAUGCCAGGCUUGUUAUUUAUGUAAUUAAUGUCUCACUGAAGUGGAUCAUUCAUUGUUGGGGUUUUUUUCUCCCUCUGCAAUUUGAAGGCUAGAAGAUAGAAUAUCAAAACACCAAAGCUUGACAUUUUGAAGUUAUUUUUCUCAUUAGCCUGUACACUUCAGGAUAUAGUUUAGCUCCCCUGGAGAUUUAUCAUCUUUUGUAUGACAAUCAGAGGCUUUGAAAGGUGUAUAAGUAUUGGUUUUGAAAAUGCAUAUGGUUUCAGAACAAAGAGAACUGGAUUGAUCAAACAGCGAGGGCAACCUAAAGGAGUAAAGUACACAAAAUAAUCUCCAAGGAGUGGGCAGUUUCAUAAAACAAAGCAUCUCAAUGUGGAUGCCAUAUUGUCAAUUAGACCUAGCAAUUUUCAGAGGUAAUGGGAAGUGGAAUACAAUAUGUACAAUCUGAUAUAUGAACACAAUGGCAAAAGAAUCAAUACCAUAUGCUGUGGACAAAUUCGGAGCUUCUUUUCAGCAGUAUUAGAUUGUACAGGAAACUAGGAAUGAGCCAACUGUAUGGUACUUUGGCCUUUUCCAUUAUUUCUUUUGUGGGACAGUCUGGAAAAGGCGAUCCUCUCUUUUAGCCACUAGAUUGGAUGAGACCUGAUUCGGAGGUACAGAGGAAGCAGAGGUAGGCACAUGGUCACCCGAGAACCGUGUGAUGUGGAUCCCCAAGGUAGAAUAGACCUGUCUCCUCAUACUUUACAUUGUACUUGUUUCUAGUUCUGCAACAGUAAAACUGCUAGCACAUUUGCAAAGCUAAGUAUGGUUUGAAACCAAGUCAGAAUCAAGAUUGCUGGAAGAAAUAUCAACAACCUCAGAUAUGCAGAUGAAAAAACCUUGAUGGCAGAAAGUGAGGAGGAAUUAAAGAACCUUUUAACGAGGGUGAAAGAGGAGAACGCAAAAUAUGGUCUGAAGCUCAAUAUCAAAAAAACGAAGAUCAUGGCCACUGGGCCCAUCACCUCCUGGCAAAUUGAAGGGGAAGAAAUGGAGGCAAUGAGAGAUUUUACUUCCUUGGGCUUCCUGAUCACUGCAGAUGGUGACAGCAGUCACGAAAUUAAAAGACGUCUGCUUCUUGGGAGAAAAGCAAUGACAAACCUAGGCAGCAUCUUAAAAAGCAGAGACAUCACCUUGCCAACAAAGGUCCGUAUAGUUAAAGCUAUGGUUUUCCCAGUAGUGAUGUAUGGAAGUGAGAGCUGGACCAUAAAGAAGGCUGAUCGCCAAAUAAUUGAUGCUUUUGAAUUCUGGUGCUGGAGGAGACUCUUGAGAGUCCCAUGGACUGCAAUAAUAUCAAACCUAUCCAUUCUGAAGGCAAUCAGCCCGGAGUGCUCACUGGAAGGACAGAUCCUGAAGCUGAGGCUCCAAUACUUUGGCCACCUCAUGAGAAGAGAAGACUCCCUGGAAAAGACCCUGAUGUUGGGAAAGAUGGAGGGCACAAGGAGAAGGGGACGACAGAGGACGAGAUGGUUGGACAGUGUUCUCGAAGCUACCAGCAUGAGUUUGACCAAACUGUGGGAGGCAGUGGAAGACAGGAGUGCCUGGCGUGCUCUGGUCCAUGGGGUCACGAAGAGUCGGACACAACUAAAUGACUAAACAACAACAACAUGGUUUGAAACCACUCAGUUUGAAACUGGUCUGCUUUCAAAUUGGAUGGGGGACCGUGUGUUGAGAUUCCUGCUUUGCAGGAGGUUGGAAUGGAUUCUAACUAACGUGCUUAGAACUGGCCAUGUCUGUUUCAUUAGAAGAAAACAGCUCCAUGGGGAGCCUGAUUCCAACGGGAAUUAUGGUGUGGGGAGGGGUUAACUCUCACAUGCCAUUUUACUGAAAAUGCUCCUCGUGAAAAUAUUACCCAUCAACAGGGGAGGGAAGCCUCAGGUCCAGGAGCUCCCUGUGACUUCCCUGGGUAGUUCAUCAAUCUCUUCCCAGGCCACACCCCUCCCUGGCUCUGCAUCAUCCCCCAGAGUUUUCCCUGGCAGGAAUGUGUCUUUGGCCUCUGAUCAUGUCUAGAUGGAGGAAAGAGAGGAUUAUGUGAGUGUGUGAAACUAGCCUACUGUAGAAAGGUAACAAGUGAGGGGAACUGUCCUUCCCAUCUUCCUACCCUUUUAAGUUGGCCAGUGUGGGAUUCCUGGACAAGAUGUAUCUGUGAUCUGAUCUGGCAGAGAGUCCACGAAAGAGACCAGAGUCUUCCACUGUGUGGUCUGUGUCUCACGAAGUUGGUCAUUGAGUGGGGAGAGAGGGAGAGGGAGAGAAGGGGGUGGGAGAGAGGGGGCCCAUGUAACAGUGGGUAGUCAUUUGAGUCACAUGUAACGAUGCUGAGAGACUACAUCUUCAACAUUUCUAGAUCUGGACAUUCCCAGUCUGGUUUUUACCAAACCUUCUUUCAUGAACCAGAGUUUGACCACAUCAUAGACCCAAAGGAAAUCUGCCUGUGCUACUAAGAGACCUACUAAGGUGACUUCUGGUUGAGAUUGAUGGCUUUUGACUGUGACAGGAAACAUCAAGCAUACACCAAGGGUUCCCACAGCAGACACAUGCAGUGUGGGUGUCAAAUGUGUGUGCAUUUAUCUUAAAAAACCCACGUCUAGGCAUUUGGGAACAUUGGCGUUUCCGGGUACAUGGAUAUACAAGCAUAUGCACGAGGUCCACACAAAGGAGGAUUAGACAUUCAGGGUGGCUGUUAGUCAUAAUGGCUAUGUUUUCCUCCAGUACAGUGGUACCUUGGUUCUCAAACGCCUUGGUUCUCAAAUGCCGAAAACCUGGAAGUAAGUGUUCCGGUUUUCAAACAUUUUUUGGAAGCCGAACGUCCAAUGAGGUUGUUGGCUAUUGUUUCCGGGGCACCUGCACCAAACAGAAGCUGUGCCUUGGUUUUUGAACAUUUCGGAAGUCAAACGGACUUCCAGAAUGGAUUAAGUUUGGCACGUUUGUUUUUGCUAUUUAUUUUGCAUAUUUGUUUUUGAAGCUUUUUCAGUUAAUUUGUAUUUGUGACUGUGCGGAACCCAGCUCAGCUACUGGUUGACUGAUUGUGUGACUGCGGAAAUGGAUAAAAGCCCCCCAUCCAAACAAUGACUAUCAUUACUGCAGUUAAUUUUUAUCAUCUACAAUACUGUCUUAUUUAUUUUAUAGGACAGUAUAUUCAUUAUUGCUUUCAUUUUAUGGAUCAAUGGUCUCGUUAGAUAGUAAAAUUCAUGUUAAAUUGCUGUUUUAGGGGUUGUUUUUAAAAGUCUGGAAUGGAUUAAUCCAUUUUGCAUUGCUUUCUAUGAGAAAGCGUGCCUUGGUUUUGGAACGCUUUGGUUUUGGAACCAAAACAGUAGGCCUCCGAGUACCAAUUUCUAUGGACCCUGAGCAGCAAAGUGCUCUUGAGCUCAUUUCCUGCUUGCAGACUUCCUAUAGGCAUCGGUGUUCUUUAUUUUAUUUUCCUUGAGGCAGUCACAAUCUGCAGACCUGCCAUAUAUUUUUCAACUAAAAAUCAGAGCUCUGAAAGGAAAACAGAAUUUGGCUCUGCAGCUUGUUCCUCUUUCCAAGUGCUGAUGCCAUGGCAUUCUCCACAUCCUUCAGAUCUAGCCUAAGUGUGAGGCAGACCAGUCUCCUUAAUUGAGCCAAAUCUUUAUCUUUAAUUGAGCCCUUUAUUUUCUCAUUAAAACCACUUCAACAGCAUCCUGCUGGGAUUGCUAAUUAAACAAUUAAAUUAGUUGAACUGGGGAAAAUGUUGAUUCCAAAAUACUAUGCAGCAUCAAUUUCCUCUCAAAGAAUACUAUACUAUACUAUUUUUCUCCUCAUUCUUAGCUUUAGUUCACAUUGCGUCCAGGCCUCUGUGUUUCUGUGAGACAAGACAUAUAUUUUUAUUUCCUUAUUUUUUUCGUCAUCAUAUUGCUCUUCAAUCCCCUGUUCUGAGCAAAGCCCAGAAUAUAUAUUUUCCCUGCGUCGGGAAAAGCAGGACUUGCUUGCACAGAGCUGCGCAGAUCGCUUUUUAAGCUUGCCAGGCAGGGGUCCGUUUUCUCUGCCACAUGAGCUAACGAGCUCCUGAAAAGUUGGGAGCAGGUUUAGGUUUCUAAUGAUGUGUAAAUCUAGGGGAUGAAGGGACCGUGUCAUCAUGGAGGAGAUUUUUCCGUGCGGGGAAAAGUGCAUUCCGGGUUCUGUUUGCCUGCGACGCUUCCCCUGUACUCUGGCAAGGAGCUCAUGUGGACCUUGGCUCUCGCACAAACAGGCUUUCCGAGACCAAAUGACAUACAAAAAUAGCAGCUGCUCCUCAGAGCUGAUUGGCUCAUUUUAAAGCAGAUGGUCCUAAAAUGCUGAUGGAGCACUGCAUCUCAGCAGGCUAAAUCUGAAAGGCUUUUUAGAAAACAAUGAAAGGAGAGGUUGUACCUCAGGAUCCUUCUUCCAAUAUCCUGUGCCCAGCACCUAAUGAGGUGGUGUGUAACAGCAGCAAGGUUACACUGCUUAAGUAUUUUGCCUGCAGCAGUUUGUAAUAUCUUGUUAAGCAUGUCCGGAUAAAUUUUCUGUAUAUAAUGGACAGUGCAAAUCUUUUCUGUUGUGAUUCCACGACUGCCUUUGUUGUUUAAAAUUUAAAAGGAGUUUUACAUUUUCAAAACAAACAACCAUCCGCCGCUGGCUAUGCCUUACCAGGUUUUGUAUAUGAACGUAGCAUUAAAGUUGAUGUAACUAGCAGAAUCACUUUCAUGGCUCAUAAAAAUGUAGCCCAAGUCCUUUUCGCAACAAAAACAGGGUGCAUGGUGGCAUCAGUCUCAACAGCGCUUCCUUCUUUCUUGCUAACACCAACCAAACAUUUUUGUAGCAUUGAGCUUAAAUGAAAAAUAUAAGGUGAUUUGCUGGUUGUAUUGAUCCAUAUUGAGAGUCAGCUGUCACCAUUGAAGAAGUAGGGACUGGUAGAUUAUUCUACAGCACAUUAGUUUGAGCAAAUAUGCACUCAAUCUCUGAGAAUUUUUUUUAAAAAAUGAAGAGUUUCAUUGAAUAAAGUAAUUGGAGAGAUAUAAAGAUGGACCGAAGGUCAAUGCACACAGCCUGAAGCAUCAACAGCUGAUCACCUGAAGAGCAUUAGGCUACUGAACAUGUACAGCUUCAUUGUCCAAAGCAAUGGACCAUCUGUAGCCUUCCUCUAAUAUGGACAAAGAAAUAAGCUGUGUCAUAAUGCAAGCUUUGAAGAUCUGGGGAUAGUUUGCCACCACAGCCGUGACCUACCAGGAUAGCACCCUGGCCCUGCAGAACCAGCUGCUUCCACAUUCGUGGCCUUCAUUCCCUCACUGGCUUUAGAAUGGUUGAUAAAGAGUGCUGUUAUUUUAAUUCAUUAAAUUUGUUUGUUGCUUUAUCCUGCCCAAAGCAAAUUACAAACAAACAAGAACUCCACACAGAUGCUUCAAAACCUGGAGUGGGGGCAAAAUACAUUAAAAACAUCCCACCCACUUCUAAAAGUUAGUUAAGGGACCAAAGGCCUGGUUAUAGAGGAAAGUUUUUACCUGGUGCCUAAAGAUAUAAAAUGAUGGUGCCAGGUAAGCCUCCCUUGGUAGAGCAUGCCACAAACAGGGAGCCAUUGCAGAAAAGGCCCUUUUUGUGUUGGUGUCCUCUGGACCUCUUGUGGAGGCAAAGGUAAAGGGGCCCCUGACCAUUAGGUCCAGUCGUGACCGACUCUGGGGUUGCGGCACUCAUCUCGCUUUAUUGGCCGAGGGAGCCGGCGUACAGGUUCCGGGUCAUGUGGCCAGCAUGACUAAGCCGCUUCUGGCGAACCAGAGCAGCGCAUGGAAACGCCGUUUACCUUCCCACCAGAGCAGUACCUAUUUAUCUACUUGCACUUUGACGUGCUUUCGAACUGCUAGGUGGGCAGGAGCAGGGACCGAGCAACGGGAGCUCACGCCAUCGUGGGGUUUCGAACCGCCGACCUUCUGAUCAGCAAGCCCUAGGCUCUGUGGUUUAACCCACAGCGCCACCCACGUCCUUUGUGGAGGAGGCACAUGAAAAAGGACCUCAGGUGAUGAUCGCAUGGUCCAGGUGGGUUCAUAUGGAGAAAGGUGGUCUUUGAGGUAUUGUGGUCUUGAGCUAUUUAAGGCUUUAUAGGUCAAAACCAGCACUCUGAAUUGGGCCCGGAAAUUAAUUGGCAAGCGGAGAGGUUGGGCCAGGGUCAGUGUAAUAUGCACAAAUCGUUUUGCCCCAGUGAGCAACCUGGCCACUGAUUUCUGCUCCAGCUGAAGUUUCCAAACCAUCUUCAGAGGCAGCCCCAUGUUUGACACACUGUAGUAAUCCAGUGAUGGCCAAACUUGGCCCUCCAGCUGUUUUGGGACUACAACUGCCAUCAUCCCUAGCUAACAGGACCAGUGGUCAGGGAUGGUGGGAACUGUAGUCCCAAAACAGCUGGAGAGCCAAGUUUGGCCAUCACUGCAGUAAUCUAACCAAGAGGUUGCCAGAGCAUAGACAACAGAAGUCAGCCUAUCCCUGUCUAAAUAGGGACACAGGUGGGUCACCAGCCAAAGCUGAUGACACUCCACACCACCAAGGCCACCUGAGCCUCCAGCGACAGCAAUGGAUCCAGAAGUAUCCACAAACUACAUACUUGCUCCUUCAGAAGGUUGUGUAACCCUAUCAAGAGCAGGAAAUCUCCCAGCCAUCCAAUCUAGGGAAUGACCCACUAAUGGUGCCACAGCCAUAUAUGGAUUGAGCUUCAGUUUGUUGGCUCUCAUCUAGUCCAUUACUAAGGCAAGACAACAGUCCAGCACAUCCACUGCCACACCUGAAGAUGUAAAGGAGAGGUAGAUCUGUGUGUAUUGUCUACACCACAGGCCCCUGCAGGCCAACUUUGACAUAUAGGGAGGGCCACCCACCUGUCAAUCACCUGAUGCCAUUGUGAGUUCAAAGUGACCACCCUCCGCCCUGAUUGGUGCUGUCAGUAAGCCCCACAUGUCAAGCAAUGGUCAGGCUCAUGCUUCUUUUACCAUCACACAUGAUGUCAAGCGUGGGGCCAAUGUACAUGGUUUGAAGGGACCUCUGACCAGGCCCAAUUAUGCCCACAUGCCAGCAGUUUCCCAGUGCUGGUCCACACAGAUGGGCAGCACAGAUACAUCCCAAACCUGACACACUGUGCAGCCUUGGGCAUGGCAUGCCAUUCUUGAUCACUUUGUCCUUAAAGAAUUAAUGUAAUAUUAGGUAAUGCAGAUGGCUGCUGCAAUGAACUUUAACGGUCUGACAACUCCUGAUCUGUUGAAAUCAGUUUUUCCCCCCUCUGUAUUUUCCCCCUUUAAAAAUUACCCUCUUGAGUCUCUUAGAGAUAAUUACUGUGCUUGUUCAGCUAGGUCUGUCAUUAAAUUACUCAAUAAAAUAGACCACUUUUAAACUCUCCAGAGUAUUAAAAGCUCUAUGGCUUGCUCAUCAGCAAACAAGAAUCUGACAGGUGAUUGUUUUGUAAAGCAAAGCGAACAUUUAAUUUUGAUUUUCCCUUUUUUGUAGGUUUUCAUUAUUUAUGGUUUGCCUUUAGUUAGGUGCCGAAGACACAAUUUCCACAAAGAGCCAAUCUUUUCAAAGAAAUUGGGUCGUGAGGGAGAUGCUGUGGAAAGUCCCAGAAAUAAAAGUUUAUAGAGGGCACCAGGACAGGGUAGGGAAUCAGCAUCCCUCCAGAUGUUUCUGAACUCCAGUUCCAUCAGGUCCAACCAGCAUGUUGGGCUGGGUUGCAGCUGGAGUUCAACAACACCUGGAGGGCCACAGGUUCCUCAUGCCUGCUCCAGGGGAUGGAAAGUGCCACAGAAUAAUAGCCGCAAUGCUACAGCUAAUGUGCUGUUUCCAGAUGUGCUUCAGGUGCCAGCCCUGGUUGGCCAGAGGUGCUUCUAUGCAUCUUAACAUUGGCCAAGAUAUGCACGUAAUCUACUUGUGAUUACUGCACAGUAACAUUUGUGCUUGUAACAGUUUCAAGGUGGACAUGUCACUUCAAUUCCAAUCAGUGUAUUUCCUGUAACUUCCUGCUGAAAGGAAAAUGCCUUGAAGGGUCAUUAACUGGGAAGAUGUAUACCCCCAAAAAUAAAUUAGGAAGAACAAAGCAAGAUGAAUGCUCAUUGGUGUAUAACUUCUCCACAAAUAGAUCAGAACUGCUCAGUAAUGUUUGGCCAUAGUCUAACCUCCAUGUGAAGCUAUAUGCAAUCAAAUCCGGACGAAUGCUCAACAAAAUAGGUCAUCUGGAAGAGGCUUUGGUCCUCAAACUUCUGAGGAAUCUUCAGCCAACUGGAGAGCCUAAAAAUUAUACCUAAAGAUUAUCUCCUUUUGUACUUUCUCUUGGCCCCACUUAUAUCACCUUAUCAGACUUCAUCACUGUAUCUUUAAUAAUACCCUGAACAUCUCAUAUGGAGCUGGUGAAUUGCACUAUCGACUAACAACAAUUUUCAAGACAGAGGGAUAAAAACAGAGUAAUACAAUUAUGGAUGUCCUUGGUUUAUGCACACUUUGUGGGAUAUAUCCAGCCUCAUAUAACCAACAUAAAGGUAAAGGUAAAGGUACCCCUGCCCGUACGGGCCAGUCGUGUCCGACUCUAGGGUUGUGCGCCCAUCUCACUUAAGAGGCCGGGGGCCAGCGCUGUCCGGAGACACUUCCGGGUCACGUGGCCAGCGUGACGAGCUGCUCUGGCGAGCCAGCACCAGCGCAGCACACGGAAACGCCGUUUACCUUCCCGCUAUAAAGCAGUACCUAUUUAUCUACUUGCACUUAAGCGUGCUUUCGAACUGCUAGGUGGGCAGGAGCUGGGACUGAAAGACGGGAGCUCACCCCGCCGCGGGGAUUCGAACCGCCGACCAUGCGAUCGGCAAGCCCUAGGCACUGAGGUUUUACCCACAGCGCCACCCGCGUCCCAUUAUAACCAACAUGCAUAACUCUAAUUAAUACAUGACGAUAUAAGACCAUAGAGUGAGCUGUCCUUCCAGGCCUAGCUAGGUCACACACCCUCACCUUGGGAGGAAGGGUCACCAAACUCAGUUCUCUCUUUUUCCACCAUGUGAAUUCAACCAGUAAGAAGGUCUAAGGUGGAUGAUUCAAGCUUAGACCAUAUAGCUUUAGCAAGCCAUAUUUGUGUUUCUAUACAAAUAAUUUAGAAACCCUUACCUUUUUGAAACUAAGUUACACUGCCUGUCUUUCUUGCUGCUAUAUGGAAAACCAAAUGAAUCUAAACUUUUGUAAGUAAACCAUUUUAACUUACCAACCAUGUGGUCUCUUUCUAUGCUAAAGGAAGUGGGAAACUUUGGAAGCAACUUAGAAGGGAAUAUUUUAAAGGUCUAACAGCCUAUAUUUCCACACUUUACUUUGCAGCAUGUUUUCUGAUUUUAAAUCUCUGCUGGGGCUCACUCACCAAAGAGUACUUGCCCAAACCAAAUGCAAACGAUCAAAAGCCAAUGCACAAUACUUCUGUGUCAUUCUUACCCCCAGUUAAACAGGUUUUUCGGGUUUUUGAAACACUGCAAAAACUGCAAAAUCAGUGUAGCAGCGACAACAUCAGGAUGUAUCUGAUGAAGGGUAACAAUGCCUUUGUAAUAUUACCUCCAUCUGUCUCCAGCCCUGGAGUCAGCUCCCAGCGCAAGAACAAGCAGUACAUGAACCCACAAGCUUUGUGGCCGUGGAGUCAUGUUCCUAAUUUAUUUGUCACAUCACCUCUCCCCAGGAGAAGGUGAUUAACAGCCUCGAGCCAAUAUAUCCUGGGAAACCAUAUUCCCUGCUCAGCUGAUGUGAAUCUCCUUGUCUUAUACAUAUCAUGGCCAGCCAAAGUACUGAGGUGAGCAGGACUUUUUCUUCUUUUUGCAGGUUAAAAGGUAAACGUCCUAUUAAUUGGAGACAAGGAUUAUGAUAAAGUCAAGAUGCUUUAUGGUCCCAUGCAACUGAGCUCAGCUCUUCUAACAUCCCUAGGACAUGCAAAUAAUGGUAUACAAGACCUGGAUGCAAUUCUUCAGAUUGCCGCUGAUAUGAGCACAAUGUCUUCAUGCCAGCUGCAAUCUGACACUGCCCCAGCUGGGCAGGCUGGCUGCCUGACAAGGAAAAGCAUUCCAUCUCACUGUAUAUAUCUAUGCACAUCUGUGAAGACAAAGGAAACGGCCGUCAUGGGCUUUCCAACCACAGUGGAUUUUUUUUUUAAAGCACAAAAAAUGCAGACGGGAUCUGCUGCGUUCAUGACGACAUGGAGGUAACAAAAAACCCAUCAGCAAGAUGAAGAGGUUCUUAUAUCAGGAAGCUUGCUUGCAAAUGUCAUAUUGUUCUGCUCAGACUCAGUUGAUGCUGAGAAACGAGGCAUACAAAUACAUGCAACGCAACCUGGCAAAGGGGCCAAUCCUCCGAGAGCUGAGAUAGUAAAUUGAAUGGUGCUUUCUGACGGGCAGAGCUGAAGCACAUUCACACUGAAGUUACCCAGCUGCAUUAAGUACAAUUUACUGUCAUUGCAAAGGGGUAACCUGCGUUAUGCAUGGGAUUCUAUGCCUUCCGAAAACCACAAGGGAUGCAGGUCUGUUUGCAAGGUUAUUCUUUCUUUCAAACUGCCAGAAUGGGAGGUUGUUAAAACCUCUAUAACACUGAUCAGACCGUAAGAACAAAAUCUUUGUAAAACAACAUGGCAACCACAACAAAGCUGUCCUUUGAAAAUUGCACUUCUCUGAAUGUUGGCGUACAGUUUUCCAACUAAAUGCACAUAUCAUGGGAAAGGAUAAAAAUGCAUGUACAGUGGUACCUCGAGUUAAGUACUUAAUUCAUUCCGGAGGGCCGUACUUAACCUGAAACUGUUCUUAACCUGAAGCACCACUUUAGCUAAUGGGGCCUCCUGCUGCUGCCGCACUGCCGGAGCACAAUUUCUGUUCUCAUCCUGAAGCAAAGUUCUUAACCUGAAGCAAUAUUUCUGGGUUAGCGGAGUCUGUAACCUGAAGUGUAUGUAACCUGAAGCGAAUGUAACCUGAAGUACCACUGUAAAUGAAAAUAACAUACAAACAUUUAUUACAUUGGAGGAACUUGCAUCUAUUCGGCAGCUAGCCUGACGGUUGUCCUUACUGUCUCAUCUAUUAUGGGAUACUCACAGCACCCCUUUAUUACUAAGAUGCACACCAGAAGAUAAUGUUACUGCUGUCCUAUAACCAUGUUGAUGGGGACAAUGGAAGGGAAAUAACUGAAAGCAGGAUGUGACGGGUUCUUGUUUGUGUAGUACAGCCUAUGUCUCUAAGAACACAAGAAGAGGCUGCUGGAUUAGACUAAUUGUCCCAUGGGAAACUGCAGGUGAUUGGUCUUGUGUUGAGGUUCGCUUUUAGGCUUCCCAGAGACAUCUGGCUGGCCACUGUGAGAACAGGACACUGGACUAGAAGGGGAGCCGUGGGACACGGCUAUAUCAUUGCCAAAGGCCUCAUCCACCCACCUUUCCACCUCCCUCAGCUUCUCUGCUUUGCUACCUUGACCUCAAGGAAAGAAACGUCUUAGAGUGGUUCCCCCCGCCCAAGUGUUAAUUCAGAAGGAUGUCAACAAGGAAAUGAACACAUCGCUCUUUUCCUCUCCUUUCCCUGCCCUAAGCAUUCUUAUGACUUACCGUAUUUUUUGCUCUUUUUUCGCACCCGACCAUAAGACGCAUCUAGUUUUUGGAGGAGGAAAACAAGAAAAAAAUAUAUUCUGAAUCCCAGAAGCCAGAACAGCAAGAGAGAUCGGUGCGCAACGAUCCCUCUCGCUGCUCUGGCUUCAGCGAUAGCUGCGCAGCCUGCAUUCGCUCCAUAAGACGCACACACAUUUCCUCUUACUUUUUAGGAGGGAAAAAGUGCAUCUUAUAGAGCAAAAAAUAUGGUAGUUGUGGGAAUGACAUGAUGUAUUGUGAAGUAGGAAAACUGAGAGAAUUGAAAUGGGCAGAUCUUUCCAUUCCCAUUGGGAAGCAGAGGCAAAUUUAGGGGAGUGCAACCAGUUCACCCACUGGCGGAGGAACAGGGGGCAAAGGAAGCGCACCACCCCCGGGCACCAUCGGGGAGGGGGGUACCAUCGCGGGGGGGGGCCCAGACACGUGCCAUGCACCUACCGUGCCGGGCGCCACGCCCCCAGAUAGCAUGCCACGCCCCCCAGGACGCACACCAGCCAUGCCCCCACCUGCUCUCUGCCCCCGGUGCCGGAGCAUUCAGCUUCGCCACUGGGUUCACCAUCACUGGGUGCCAAGCCUACAGGGCACCGCAGAGGGCAUGGCAAUAAUGAACGGAAGGCGAGAUGUAGCGGAUCGCAAAUUUUGGCAUUGCAGAAAGCGCCGCUGAAAUUUGAAAACCCCAAGUCUGCCACUGUGUGGAAUCACAAUUUCUCUCAAAGAGAGAGUACUGGCUGCAGCUGCUCCUGUUGGGAUGUCCAGUGACUAGGACAACACGUUUGGCUGUUUAGAACUUGCUGGAGCCAACGUGAGUGGAGAAACAAAUGUAAAUGUAUCCUUGUACAGUAGGAUUAGGGACGCGGGUGGCACUGUGGGUUAAACCACAGAGCCUAGGACUUGCCUAUCAGAAGGUCGGCGGUUCGAAUCCCUGCAACAGGGUGAGCUCCCGUUGCUCGGUCCCUGCUCCUGCCCACCUAGCAGUUCGAAAGCACGUCAAAGUACAAGUAGAUAAAUAGGUACCGCUCCAGCGGGAAGGUAAAUGGCAUUUCCGUGCGCUGCUCUGCUUCACCAGAAGCGGCUUAGUCAUGCUGGCCACAUAACCCGGAAGCUGUAUGCUGGCUCCCUCGGCCAGUAAAGUGAGAGGAGCGCCGCAAUCCCAGAAUCGGCCACGACUGGACCUAAUGGUCAGGGUUCCCUUUACCUUUACAGCAGGAUAGUUUCUACAGACACCCACACAUCCCUCUCUAUCCUCUGUCCAGGCAAGCAAGAGCCAUUAACUGAGUUCAAUGGCACAUGCCAUCCAGGCAAAAGUGCUCAGGGGGUGUGGCUUGGCCCUGGAAGCCAGAUGCAGCAGCUUAGAGGACCACAUAUGGCCCCAAGACCUGAGGUUCCCCACCUGUAGUGUGGACAGCAGUGAGCUAGAAGGACCAAUGCUCUGCCUUGGGAUAGCGCACCUUCCUUCACAGCCUUGCAAAGGCCCCACUCACAGACUUGUCAAAGAGUCAUUGGCUGCAUUAGAAGUCUUGAAAAGGCAACAAAGGCUUUUGUUUGGCUCUCAAAACCAUUUUUCACCACCUCGGUAAGGCUGGAAGAUCACCUUGGGAAAUGGUUUUUUUUUUUUAAUAAAAAAGAACGAAAGAAAACCCAACACCCAUCUCCCAAAAGACACUCUGUGACAGGAUUUUUGUGACUCACGCUUUUUAGGGGGAAGCCAGCGUCAAAUUCUGACAUCUGCUUAAGAGGUUCUAGCAUUUCAAACAUGAAUUAAGUGGCCUGGUGGAAUAGUUUGGGGAUGUUUAUUUUAAAAGAGGCUGCCUCGGCUCAAUGAUGAUUGAGUUGAUAUAGCAUGAAAGAAAACUGGUACUACAACAAUGCAAAUAUCACAUCACGGGCUGAGGGUGGGUGGAAUCUGAAAGCUUGGCCCUCAAAACACAUGCCAAUAGCACAAGUGCUUUAAAAGAUCAGAGCUUAAGAAAUCAAUCACUUGCAGUGUGCAAGUCAGAACACAACUUCUUUCCAAAAUUCAAUUAAAUCAAUAUGCAACUUGUUCGGGGGGGGGGGGGGACUUGACUCCACUGACAUAUAUGGCAACGUUCUCAUUGACUAGAAUAGAUUUUUAACACCUCAUUGCCUGCUUUUCUCUAAGCUACAGGCAAAUUUUAAAAAAAACAAACCCAAAAACUCGAUGGCGUUUGGACUGGUUCACACCUGCAGUUUAUCACUUGGUGACUACAACACAUGUGUUGAAUGGACUUUCAUUAUCUCCAUGCAUGGUUUCAAAAGCAACGCCCUUCAAUAGAGUGCAGUCACAUGAAGCAGUUGUUGUUGUUGUUGUUUAGUCGUUUAGUCGUGUCCGACUCUUUGUGACCCAAUGGACCAGAGCACGCCAGGCACUUCUGUCUUCCACUGCCUCCCACAGUUUGGUCAAACUCAUGCUGGUAGCUUCGAGAACACUGUCCAGCCACCUCGUCCUCUGUCGUCCCCUUCUCCUUGUGCCCUCAAUCUUUCCCAACACCAGGGUCUUUUCCAGGGAGUCUUCUUUUCUCAUGAGGUGGCCAAAGUCUUAGAGCCUCAGCUUCAGGAUCUGUCCUUCCAGUGAGCACUCAGGGCUGAUUUCCUUCAGAAUGGAUAGGUUUGAUCUUCUUG
Molecule: non-coding RNA, 76523 nt
Organism: Podarcis lilfordi (Lilford's wall lizard)
Lineage: Eukaryota; Metazoa; Chordata; Lepidosauria; Squamata; Lacertidae
Source: the annotation of a GenBank genome assembly